CUUCCAAAACCAGUUUGCAGGUGCCGAUGAUACCAUGCAGGUGAUGCAACCGAGCUCGAGGAGGAGCUCGAUGAAGAUCGUGUUCUUUGUGUUGUUUCGUUUCUAGUUGAUCAGUAGUGGAGCCUUGUCGGGGCGAUCGGGGAUCUAGCAUUAGGGGUUGUCUUCUUUUCUUUUGGUUCCGUAGUCGGACCGUGAUUGUAUUCUGGAUGCUGUAAUGCUAUAUUUAUGUAUUGUGUGAAGUUGCGAUUGUAAGCCAACUCCUUAUCCCUUUCUUAUUCAGUACGUGGGAUGUGUAAAGAUUACCCCUCUUGCGACAUGCCUACAAUGCGGUUAUGCCUCUAAGUCGUGCUCCGACACGUGGGAGAUAUAGCCGCAUCGUGGGUGUUACAAGUUGGUAAUCAGAGCCUUCCCCGACUUAGGAGCCCCCUGCUUGAUCGAAUCGCUGGCGUUGUUAAGUCUAGAAAAAUGUUUUGAGUCUUAUAGGAUUAUAUAUAUCGGAGAGUAGGAUUCUUUUUACUCCUCAGUCCCUUUGUCGCUUCGGUGAGGCCUCCUGAAGUAGAGUUUUGACUUUUCUCUCUUCAAAUUUCACGAAUGUUUUUUAGGAUCACGCGGGUAUCUUGGAAUCGUUCUGAUGGUUUUGUGACGAGAACAUUGUUCUAGGUGCCUCCUAACAUUUAGGGGUUGUGGCAGUGUCCCGGGGAGUUGAGCUCAGAGGUGUUGUCAUCACAAUUUUAUCGUUGCUGUUCUGGAAUACCUGAGUUUCGCCGACAUCGAAAAUCUCUUUUAUGUAGUUGUUGGUGAGAUAACCUCGACGCCACCCAGUACUGGGGUGGGAGUUCGGGAGUAUUGCCAUAACUCGUAUACAGGAUGCUUUUGGAAGGUUGAGGUAAACGAUUUCCGAAGGUUUCUUGGUUAUGUGUUCAAGGAUGGAUACAGCUGGAUGUAGGAUUUGCUAGUUUUGGGUGAGAUAUUAUGCUUCCCCUGUAUCCCCAACACCUGAUUGCAUAACCAUAAAGUUUCGAGAGUUUAUAAGUGGGAAUUCAAGUAGCUCCUAGGAUAUCUUUCCGACAGAUGUAUGAUAUGAAAUUGGGGUUCGACGCCUAGUGGUCCGCCUAUCCACGGUUGGUUUUACAGUGGUCUCGUUGUGUCUUAAAGAGUCCUUGGCUAUGCUGACUUGGGGACGCUUCGUAUGUCAUGUGCACUGCCUUGUACAUGAUGGUGCUGUACGAUCGAGCCCGUGUGGGCCCCACCACGAAAACUUCGGACGAAAUUUCUAUCAUAUGUUUGUUCCGGCUUAUUUUGCAAGCCAAUCCUUUGUUCUGCUUUGAGUUGUGGUAUUCGAGUUGCUUCAAUGUCAAGUGUUGAUUCCAUACCUUCCCUAGGCGGUGUUCUCAUACUUCUAUGUGAAUACUAAUCUUUCAUGAUAAUCGAGAUUUUCAUGUCAAUACUUUUCAACCGGCGUGUUUCUCUUCAAGUGGAUCCGAUCAUUUCAACAUCCGCAAGAUCAAUUAUCAGUUCUUCUCAACGGUGCUCAUUUCAUCUGUCCCAAGCUGCCUUUGUUUUUCCCGCCCACCCACCCUUGUUUCUUUAAGGACUCGGAUUUCUUUAUCAAGUAUCCACACUACAAAAAAAUACACAUCCGUGACAUUUUGGGUCGAACGGAAAAAAAUUUAUGUCAUACAUAUGACACUUCUAUGACGAUAAUUGUGACAAAACCCGGUAUCAUCAUAGAUGUGGUGGGCUCCUACUUCUAUGACAAAAAAUCAUGACAAAAAAUGGGUUUUUAGUCCUGGGCGGGCCGGAGACACAGCUGCAUGACAUUCUUUGGGUCGUCCAUGACGGAAAAAACCAUGGUAGAAGCGAGGGCGAGGAAAAUUUCAGGGAGUUCCCGGUUACGGUGGGAGGUCGGGGGCCGAGCGAUGCGCGUUUCUCUCGUACACAUACGCGCGUGUGUGCGAGGCGUUGGCUCUAACUGAACCCGAGCGAGGCGUUGGGCUCUAACUGAACCCGAGCGAUUGCACUGCAGGCUACGCGUUACUGAACCCGAGCGAUCGAUCAAUGGCUGUUAACUGAACCCGAUCGAGCGAUUCCUUCACUACUGGUGCUAACUGAAGCUGAUCGAUGCUGCCUCUGGAUGAGCAGUGAGUGUUGCGGGGGGGUUUGGAUGAACAGUUCCCGGUGGGGGUGGAUGAACAGGACCCCGAUCGAUCGAGCCGGUUGGGGCUGGAUGAACAGGACCCCGUGGAGGGCUGGAUGAAUAGGACCACCCCGUGGAGGGUAGGAUGAACAGUAGACGGUGGAGGGCAGGAUGAACAGUAGCCCGUGGAGGGGUGGUUGAACAGGAGCCCGUGGAGAGGGCUGGUUGAACAGUAGCCGGUGGAGUAGCGCGUGGUGGAGGCUGGAUGAACAGGAGCCCGUGGAUGAACAGUCGCAGGUGGAGGCUGGAGGAGGUCGACGGUGGAUGAACAGUAGCUCAUGGAGGCUGGAGGGGGUCGACAAUGGAGAUGAACAGUAUCCCGUGGAGUCCCGUUUGUGGUACGCCACACCCCUUCCGAUGAACACGACCCCCGUUUCGACCGUAUCGCUCCAACACAAGUCUGUUUCGUCCGUUUUGCGGUACGCCACACCCCUCCCGAUGAAGAGGACCCCCGUUUCGACCGUAGGAGGUCCAUUUCCUCCGUUUUGCGGUACGCCGGGCCUCGUUUCCAUCGCCUGUUCCGUCCAAGCCCUCCCGAUGAACACGACGCAUUUCGUUGCCUCCCCAUGAACACGACGCAUUACGUUGCCUCCCCAUGAACACGACGCAUUCCGUUGCCUCCCCAUGAACACGACGACGUCGCUGUUUCUCCGUUCCGACCCAGCCAUGUACACGAGCCCUGGCCGUAUGUAUGCGCGAGUAGGCGUUCGAGACCCCGCCCGUAUGUACACAUACGUGGCCGUAUUUUCUUUCUUGCACCCUGGCCGCUGUACGUACGUGUAAAUGCUACGUGCGCGCCUCUACUACGACACGUGCGCGCCUCUACUACUACACGUGUGCGCCUCUACAUCGACCAGUAUGUACGUACAUGUUCGCGACAAGAAUGACAACGCUACGUACGCUUCGACUAGGUGGGUCCUAACUGUCACGCACUUCCUUGCCUGCGAAGAUGUAGCUGGUGGGUCCCAACAGUCAGGGGGCGAAUCGUUUUUUUUCCUGGACGCACUUCCUUGCGUGCGAAGAUGUAGCUGGUGGGUCCCAGCAGUAAGGGGGAAAUGUUUUUUUCGCGAAAUACGGUGGCCCGUCCGGUGGGUCCCGCUGUUAGGUGGAGGAAUAAUUAUUUUGAACGUAAUAAGGAGGCACUUCCUUGCUGCGGCCGUGGACCCAGCUGUCAGCCUCUCCACGUACUGUCCACGUCCGAUGGAAGUCGUUCCUUGACCACGUUGACCACGCCGCGCCGGGAGCACCAGGGCGGUGGACGACGGCGAGGCCUAGGAAGGGGACGACGCGGAGCUGGGGAAGACGCGGCAGUGGAUGCCCACGCGUAGAGGAGUAUGAGGGUUCACUGGUUUGCUGCGGUGUGAGGCUGCUAUCGCCGUAGAAUAACAGGGGGUGUGGGUGAGUAGAGGGAUGGCCUGGCCAGCGGUGGGAGUAGUAGGGGGCGGUGAGGCCUCCGCCGCAUCGCAGCCGGCCACGGGAGGCAGGAGCACGAGGCACGACCGACGCUGGUUUGGGCGGCUGGAGCAAGAAGACCAGAGGUUGAAGAAGCACUGCCGCCGUUGGAUGGACAUCGUACGGUCACUUGAGCUAGAAUCGUGCAUAUUGACUAAGUUGACAAAGCCCUCCGUCCCCGUCAACUUAGUAGGCCCACAAGUCAGCCUACCACUAUAUUGGGUCCCAGCUAACAGGGGGAGUAUUCAUUUUUUUGUGCGUAAUAAGGAGGCACUUCCUUGCGUGCGAAGAUAUAGUUGGUGGGUCUGAGCUGUCAGUGGCGGUACCAUUUUUUCACGAAAUACAGAGGCCCUUUCGCUGGGUCCCUGAGGUCAGGUGGAGGAAUCAUUAUUUUGCGCGUAAUAAGGAGGCAUUUCCUUGCGUGCGGCCCUGGACCCAGCUAUCGGCCUCUCCACGUAAAGUCAACUUCAGAUGCAUGUCGGUGGUUGACCACGUUGACCAAGCCGCGCCGAGAGCACCAGGGCGGUGGAUGACGGUGAGGCCUAGGAAGGGAACGACACGGAGGCAGGGAAGACUCGGCAGUAGUUUCCCACGUGGAGGGGAGUACGACUAUACGAGGGUUUACUGGUUCAUCUGCCAUCGCCGGAGAAUAACAGCAGGUGUGGGUGAGUAGAGGGACGGCUAGGCCAGUAUGGGAGUACGGUGGGGCGGUGAGGCCUGCAUGGCAACAGAGCCGGCCGCAGGGAGGAGGGAGCAGGCAGUCCCGCCGGCGCCUGUUUGAGCGGCUGGAGCAGGAAGAGCGGAGAUUGAAGAAGCACGAUGGCCGUUGGAUGACCAUCCAACAGUCACUGCUUGUGCGUCAACCUUUUUUUAGGAAAGCCUCAAAUAUGUGGAAAACAGCAUACAACCCAUUUGCUAAUUCUUAAGGUUUUUUUGGAGCCCAUAUUCUUUUUGUUAGCAUUACAGCCCAUAUUGUGGCCAUGGUUAAAAAAUUAUACAAAAUUUUGCAUAUUUCGGUGCGGUCCGAACUGUUUUUAAUCCCGAAAUUUUGACUCACAUUCAAACUGGUUUUAAAAAUGAAUGUAUAUCAAUAUAAAAUCCAACAAAUUCUCCACGCGUAAAAAUUAAUGUAAUUUAAAAUCUCGAAAUGAAAAAAAGAUAUUUGAAACUAAUUGCUGGUUUGAUGUGUUUUAAAAAUGUACAGCUCAUUUCUCAUUACUGAUGGGCCAUUUUCUCGGCCAGCCGAAUGAAAGCUCUCCUCGUCUUGAAAUAUUUGCAGCCCGACAGCUCUGACAAAGCGACUUACUUGGCAAAUCACAAAAAAACUGGGUUGUGGCCGUGGACCCAGCUGUCAGUUCAUUUGUUUUUUUAGUCCAUUUGGUGGGCUAGGUGAAACAAUGAUGUAGCAUCUAUGCAGCCCAUUUAAAUCCCAUUUGCAUUUUUCUCGAAAGCCGUGGACUUGCUGGGCUGGGUGAAAAUAUCAUGUUGGGCUAGACGGAGAAAUGUUAUAAAAACAUAAACACAUGAUUGCACGUCAGUAAAAUCUUUGCAAGCUUAUGUACACAAUCACUAGGAGUUAACUUGCCAAGUUAUAUAUAAACAAUUAUUAUUAUUAUUUUGUAAGAACUUUCAACUUACUAAAUAAAAUAUCAUUUUAAUUUGAUGAGUUAAUAGUAGGUGGGGUAUUAUUAUUGUUUAGGCUAGACGUGGGACAGUUGAGUUGGUUCUAGGGGAAAGUACUAGGAGAAAACUCAGUUUACAUCGAAAAAGAAAGUGGGAGAAAAUUCAGAGACCUGCUGGGUCCACCUGAGGAGGGGAAUAUGUUGGGAGGAAGGAGAUUCAAAGCACGACAGCCGAGUGAACUAGUUUUUUUUACGAACAAGUGAACUAGUUUACAUACAUAAGCAAAUUGCCACACAAAAAAGCAACCAGGUUAAUGGGUUCUUAAAAGAAAUAUUUCGGACAAAACAGAUAAUUACGACACAUAGGCUAAUGCAUGAAACACUCACAUCAUAAAGGUGCUUAUAAAUAGAUAAAGUACAACAUCUAGACCUUCCUGGCACGCUUGAUCAUAACGCUGCGGCUGUCCGUGUACUCAUCGGUUACAGGAAGCUGACACGCCCUCAUGUCCAAGAUCUGCAUGUACAUGUCGUAGCAUGCGUAUGCGCCCUUGGCCGCGUAGGUUAUGUAGGCUAGAUUCAGAGGUACCUCCCACAUGUUCAGGUCAUCUUCUUUCAUGUUGGCAUAUCAGGGGUCGAUGAUGGUCUCAGCGAGGUCAACCAUGGAGUCCUUCUCCUGCCCAUUGCUGAUUAUCUUGUAUUGCUUCUGGAUGUCGACAAGCUUGUUGCACCAGAUGGCCGAAUCGUCGCGUUCUUCCUUCUCUCCACCGUAGCGAAGGUGCAGUCGGCGCUGCCGAUGAAAUGGGCGAAUGCUCCAGAACCUGGUGCAGCCAUAGGACUGAGGAGAGGUAGAGCUUCACCGAGUCCGUAUCGUUGGUGUACAUCACAUUCAACUUGGUGCAGCCAUAGGACUGAACGGCGAACUCAAAGGGGGACUCCUUGCUGAAGUCCAUAUCCAGUAGGCUCACCCCUCGGAUCGCCAUUGGAGUCUCUUCGAGUGAACGAGUGUGUAGGCGGCGGCGGCAGUUCAUUUUUCAGCUCUUGGGGAACUGGAUUCAACAGUAAGCUGAGUGUGUACAGGCGACAAUAGUUACUACCCCUCCCUCGUCCGCUGCAUGCCCGGCAGAAGAUGCGCCCUCGGCCACACGUACUUAAAUUUAGUGGUCACUUUACUUAAAUUUAAUUAGCUUUAAUAGAAAUUUCUACUUAAAACAAGCAAUGAAGUCGCUCGUUCUAUUAGUGCCACAGGAUCAACAUGCACAACAAUUAGAAUUAUUAUUCUCAGGACGCACACGAUCAUCACAUUUGUCACACUUUCACAAAGAUAAUACUACCGAGUUUGAACUGCUUGUUAUGGUUGUUGUCCUCUGCAUCAUCAUGCCAUGUUUCCCAUCUUGCAAGAUUCAGAACCAACAAAUAAGAUCCAAAUAAUAAGUACACCAAAGAUGCCUGCACAUCUCAUUGAUUCCUAGCUUGCAAGAUUCAGAACCAACAAAUAAGAUCCAAAUAAUAAGUACAACAAAGAUGCCUACACAUCUCACUGAUUCCCAGCUUGCAAGAUUCAGAACCAACCCAUUAGAGCCUUUUGAUAAAGUGAAUAUCGGGAUUAAAUCCAUCUUGGCUAGCCAUGUCAUACAAUCGAAGAACUUGGCGAAUGCUCUUGACCGUCACAACAUCUGUAGUUGAGUAUUCCUGUUUGCACAACAUGUUUGCACAUCACAAACAAGGAGACAGGAGAGCAUGAUUUUGCUUUAAUAGAGGCCUCCUUGAACUCAACCUCCAGCUCUACUUGGAUGAGGUCUGCCUGGAGUUCCAUGAUUCAAUUCAUGCGCCUUUUUCUGUAGUUCACCUGAAAUGAAGCAAAGAUUGCAUCAUUCAGCUAGCAAGAAGUACUUGCUCUUGUGAGCUGGCAGGUUCUUCUUUAGUAGUUGCACUAAAAUUGAGGAACAUUAAGGUUGGCUGUCCGGCUCAUGUAAGGUGCAACUAUAAUUUUCUUAUCCUUUUGUGCAGUUCCACUAAAAUAAAGUGCCAUUGUGGUGACAGUGACGGCUCCAUCUUGCAAAGGCUAAUAAAAUGUUGCACGAGAUUACCAGCAGAACUUGACGGAGAUUUUGGAAACUCCAAUCACCAUUUUGUGUAGUUCCACCAAAAUUGAGAGAUGUUCCCCACGUGACAUUUUAGUUGAACUGCACAAGACACUCAUUCCAAAAAAAGUGUUUUCUGGAGUUCACCAAAAGGUCACAAUAGCAACAAGGUGAAAUGGAUAUCCCUAUCUGCACAAAAAGAUAGAAAGUAAAUAGUUGCUGGUCAAUAAGAAUAUAUGAAACAUAUACAAAAUGAAAAGAAGCAUCUUAAUUAUGUUCAUGGCAAUCACACAAGGACAAUAGGAAUUUUAAAAUGUCAGCGAUGCUUCAUGUUAUCAGAAGCAUUACGAUCAACAAUGAGAUUCCUCAAAUAUGGGAUUGCUUUAAUGGUGGCAUUGCUUGUUUACCAGAUGAGGGAGUCCUGGAUUAGGGGGUGUUCGGAUAGCCGGACUAUACCAUCAGCCGGACUCCUGGACUAUGAAGAUACAAGAUUGAAGACUCCGUCCCGUGUCCGGAAGGGACUUUCCUUGGCGUGGAAGGCAAACUUGGCGAUACGGAUAUGAAGAUCUCCUACCAGUGUAACCUACUUUGUGUAACCCUAACCCUCUCCGGUGUCUAUAUAAACCGGAGGGUUUUAGUCCGUAGGACAACAUACACAUCAACAAUCAUACCAUAGGCUAGCUUAUAGGGUUUAACCUCCUCGAUCUCGUGGUAGAUCAACUCUUGUACUACCCAUAUCAUCAAUAUUAAUCAAGCAGGACAUAGGGUUUUACCUCCAUCGAGAGGGCCCGAACCUGGGUAAAACUUCGUGUCCCUUGUCUCCUAUUACCAUCAGGCCUAGACGCGCAGUUCGGGACCCCCUACCUGAGAUCCGCCGGUUUUGACACCGACAUUGGUGCUUUCAUUGAGAGUUCCUCUGUGUCGUCACCAUCAGGAAGGAUGCCUCGCCUCGUCUUUAAAGACGGCACCGUUGCUAAGGGAGCUUUGGCUGUCGGCCAAACCAUCCAGUUAGGUGGCUUUCUUAUGACCGCAUGUUCGGCUUCUGCACCGACGAUGACCUCUCGAGCCAUCGAAAACAAUCUUCAUGUCAACUCGGAACUCACCGAGCAGUUAGAUCCAAUAGAUAUUUCCUCCAUAAAUGAGCUCUUGGAUCGCUUCGCCGCCCUGGGAGUCGCUACGGAUUACGACCAGAUUGGGCCUAAAACCGAUCUGAGAGAGAUUAACUCUCCCCAAGUCACCCAUCACGUUGCCGUGGUAGACGGGCAGUGCGGCGACCCUUCAUCUAUCUUAAGGACUCGCUAUGUCCGGAUUCCGGAUCCCUCCAAGCCGGAUAACCGCGGAGGGGAGGAUAUCACUCAAGACCUGAACUUAGAGUCAGGCGACAGGCUGGAUUCAUUAGACAACAUCCAGGAAUCCAAAUAUUCGAGUUUAGAAAUUCCUCGGCCUCUGAGCCUUAGAUGGGGUGAGGCUUCGGAUUUAAUUCCACCCACCCACCCCAACAUAAGUGAUCUAUCCAAAAUCAGGCAAGAACCCGAUGAAACAGUACAUCAUUACUGGACCAGAUUCCUCCUGGUUAAAAACAGGCUAAGGGACUGCCGCGAGGAAGACGCAAUCUCAAUCUUCUGCAAUAACUGCACGGACAAGGGAAUACUCAACGCCAUAAGUCACCGUCAUAUUACAUGCUUCGCUGACUUGGCGUCCAUUGUACGAAAGUACUGUGCGAUGGAAAGCGCCUGGAAAACCGAAAUAAAAUUUUGGGACAAUCCGGCCCUGAAUACAAACCCAGUCCCAAAUAAAAGGGUGCAUCAUCACCAGUCACCCAGGUCAAGCACUAAAAAGCAAAAACCCUCUACAGGGCAUGGAACCGUACUAGAAGGGUGGCUUAAUGGACCCUGUAAAAUUCAAAGUACAGAGGACGCCACACCAACUCACAGCCUCAGAGCAUGUUGGAUACUCCGGCAGGUGGCCAAAAUUGGCGAAAAUCUCCUAAUUCCGGAGGCCACAAAAAGCCACCCUAGAGACACCAAUACGGUAUUAAUAGUCUUCGAGACUUUCGCAUCAAAUAAUAUGCGAAAAAGAACACACCGCAGCCUUGCCGAAGUCUACCAAGUAGCAACAAUAAACCCAUGGAGUGACAUGGCUAUUACCUUUAACGCCAGUGAUGAACCUAAAUUCCGAACAGCCUGAGCACCAGCCGCAUUGGUCCUCAGUCCAAUAGUGGACGGCUUUUGUCUUACCAAGGUACUCAUGGACGGCGGCAGCGGAUUGAACCUCAUUUACGAGGAGACUCUUCAAAAAAUGGAAAUAGACUAGAACCGCAUUGAGCGAAGCAGCACAACCUUUAGAAGAAUAAUCCCCAAUCGGGAAGCGCGCUGUAUAGGAAAAAUCACAUUAGAUGUGGUGUUCGGCACGCCGGAUAAUUACAGGUCCGAAGAGGUCACGUUCCAGGUGGCUCCGUUCUGCAUCGGUUAUCACGCUCUGCUAGGGCGGGAAGCGUUUACAAUCUUCCAAGCAAUACCCCAUUACGGGUACAUGAAGCUCAAGAUGCCCGGGCCUAACGGGAUCAUCACUCUUGCUAGUGAUCCGGACAUAGCACUCCGCGCCGAAAACAAGACAGCCGCACUGACCCUCGAGGCACUAUCCGAAGCCCUAGCGUCUAAGGAGCUGACUGUGCUGCGCUCUACGGUGAAUAGGGAUGAUGUGGUACUCGACAAAAGAUCCAAGUCCACCUCCUUUAAACCGGUGGACAAAAUAGUCAAAUUCCAAGUCCAUCCAACGGACCCCAAUAAAACAGCUUCCAUCGGGGCACAGUUAAACCCUGAUGUCGACGCCGCAUUGCGAGAGUUCCUACGAGAGAACUGGGACAUUUUCGCCUGGCACCCUUCAGACAUGCCAGGAAUCCCACGCAGGCUGGCCGAGCACAGCUUAAAUAUCCAAACAGGAUUCAAACCUGUCAAACAGGCUCUUCGCAGUUUUUCUAAACCUAAGAAACAGGCCAUGGGAGAGGAGCUAGCAAAGCUAUUGGAGGACGGUUUCAUCAGAGAUAUAAAACAUCCGGACUGGCUAGCAAUCCUGGUGAUGGUACCAAAGAAGGACAAAUCCUGGCGCCUGUGUGUUGAUUUUAAAGACCUUAACAAGGCUUGCCCAAAGGAUCCCUUCCCCCUCCCCCGCAUCGAUCAAAUUAUCGACGCUACCGCGGGACACGAUUCGUUGUGUUUCCUCAACACAUAUUCUGGCUACCAUCAAAUCAAGAUGGCAGAACCAGACCAAGCUGCAACGGCAUUUAUCACACCAUAUGGGCCAUUCUGCUUCAACACGAUGCCCUUCGGGCUCAAAAACGCCAGCGCAACAUAUCAGCGCAUGAUUCAGACACGUCUGGUAAGCCAGAUCGAUAAAACAGUGGAGGCAUAUGUAGAUGAUGUGGUCGUCAAAACAACACAUGUUGAAUCUCUAGUAGAUGACUUGAGGCUCACAUUUGAUAACCUCCGAACAUACGACAUCAAGCUCAACCCGGAAAAAUGCGUUUUCGGUGUUCCAGCCGGAAAGCUCUUGGGCUUCAUUGUAUCCGGUAGAGGAAUUGAAGCAAAUCCAGCCAAGAUCCGAGCUCUAUCGCAACUGGAUAUCCCAAAGGACCUCAAACAAAUACAAAAGUUAACCGGAUGCGUGGCGGCUCUAAGCCGCUUUAUCUCCCGCUUGGGAGAAAAGGCCCUACCCCUUUACCGCCUCCUUCGGCGCACCAAACACUUCAAAUGGAUGGACGCAGCCAUGGCCGGACUCAACAAAAUAAAAUCCAUACUGGCAACAAACCCAGUCCUGGCCGCGCCAAACAUUGGCGAACCAAUGCUAUUAUACAUUGCAGCAACACAUCAGGUUGUAAGCGCAGUGCUCGUCGUCGAAUGAGAAGCGGAUGGACACAAAUCCCCCCUUCAAAAGCCGGUCUAUUAUGUGUCCACUGUCCUCACUCCCUGCAAAUCACGGUACCCGCAUUAUCAAAAGAUUGCGUACGCAGUAUUCAUGGCAUCCCGGAAGCUGCGAAACUACUUUCAAGAGUGUUCAAUAACAGUAUCCUCGGAAGUACCAUUAACAAUAUUAUAAACAACCGUGACGCAACGGGCCACAUUGCGAAAUGGGCCAUCGAGCUCCUCCCGUUCGACAUAACUUAUAAGCCACGACGAGCCAUCAAGUCACAAGUCUUGGCCGACUUCGUCGCAGAAUGGACGGAGGCCGAACUCCCUAAAGAGUACAGCACAUAUUCAAAUUGGAUCAUGCAUUUCAACGGCUCCAAGAUGUUGGCCGGACUGGGGGUUGGCGUCAUUUUGACGUCCCCCAUAGGAGACACAGUUCAAUACGUACUACAGAUUAUGUACACGAACUCCAACAAUGCAGCCGAAUAUGAGGCCCUUUUACAUUGUCUCCGGAUGGCAGUAUCCAUGGGCAUACAACGCCUAGAGGUGCGCGGGGACUUGAAUGUCGCAAUAUCCCAAAUAAAUGGAGACUUCGAUGCCAAGGAUCCAAAAAUGGCAGCUUACCGCAACGCCGUCCUAAAAAUGUCAGCUCGGUUCGAGGGGCUUGAAUUUCAUCAUAUAGCCCAGGAAAAUAAUCAGGCGGCAGAUGUCCUGGCACGCAUCGGCGCAAAACGCGAUGUAGUCCCCCCCCCCCAACAUCUUCUUGGAAAGGCUGUUCAAGCCAUCCGUGGCAUGGGAAGGGGAGCCGAGCAAUAACAGGCCGGACCCAACUGCACUGCCCGACACCGAACAAUCUGACACAAUCGGAGGCUCUGCCAAUGAAAUAACACCUUCAGCCCACGUAAUAAUGGUCGUCAUCACCCCGUGACAGAACCAUUCCUCGCCUACCUUACUAGGCAGGAACUCCCCGAGGACCAAAAUGAGGCACGCUGCAUAGUGUGGCGAUCCAAAGCCUACAGAGUCCACGAGGGAGAGCUUUAUAAGAAAAGCACUACCGGAGUCCUUCAAAGGUGCAUCUCCGAAGAGAAGGGGCGGAAUCUCCUGGCUGAAAUUCAUGCCGGACUCGGCGGUCAUCAUGCUGCAGCCCGGUCCCUUGUAAGCAAGGCCUUCCGUACAGGCUUUUAUUGGACGACGGCCCGGGCAGACGCUCAGGCCUUAGUCCAACGAUGCACCGGUUGCCAGCUCUUUGCAAACUAAAGCCAUAUGCCACCCACCGCCCUCCAAACCAUCCCCAUUACUUGGCCCUUCGUGGUCUGGGGGCUUGACAUGGUUGGACCCCUUAAAGGCGGAACCCACAAGCAAAAAUGCUUACUGGUCAUGGUGGAUAAGUUCACCAAAUGGAUAGAAGCCAAGCCUGUUAAGACGGCCGAAUCCGGACCGGUGAUAGACUUUGUAUCCGGGGUUGUACACCGUCACGGCAUCCCCCACAACAUCAUCACUGAUAACGGCACGAACUUCAUGGCUGACGAGGUAAAACUCUGGUGCAAAAACAUGGGCAUCAAGCUCGAUUAUGCUUCCGUCUAUCACCCAUAAACUAACGGCCAGGUUGAACGUGCAAAUGGUCUUAUCAUGAGCGGCAUCAAACCCAGAUUAGUGCGGUCCCUCAAGGAAUCUAACACGCACUGGGUAGAGGAGCUCGACUCCGUACUCUAGGGGCUGCGGACCAUGCCGAAUCGCACCACCGGAUACACACCAUUCUUUAUGGUGUACGGCGCAGAGGCAGUUUUGCCUUGUGACAUAAUUCAUGACUCACCUCGAGUGCGCAUGUACGAAGAAAGAGAAGUCGAGCUCGAUCGGCAGGACAGCUUGGACGCAUUGGAGGAGGAGUAUGACAUGGCAAAAGCCCGUUCCGCAUUCUAUCAACAGCAGGCUCGAAGAUACCAAAGCAGAGAAGUACGGGCCAAAAAUUACAACAUUGGCGAAUUAGUUCUACGACUACCGGACAAGAAAAAGGACAAACUCAAGCCCAAGUGGGAAGGUCCCUUCAUAAUUGACCAAGUCCUCACUGGUGGAGCGUACCACCCACAGGAUGCAUCGGAUAACCGACUCGAGCCAGACCCAUGGAACGCAGCCCGUCUCCGAAGAUUCUAUGCCUAGCGUCGGACUCUGUGUUCGUCUCCUUCCUCUGUCCAUUUUUUAUAUUUUCUGUCUUACAUUUCUCUUCUCUCUCUCUCUCUCUCUCUCUCUCUCUCUCUCUCUCUCUUAUAGCCUCUAAAGGCUCAUAAAGUGACGCACUAUCCGCGCUCAUUAAACCUGGGGGCUUCUUUAAACAGAAGCUUAUUCAUACGGGCUUCAUGCCCAACACAUGUGUCACACUUCCACAGCAUGUACCUUUUAUUCACCAUUAUAUGCAUCGAUAUGACUUAAGUUUUGGCCAAGCUGGGUUGCCUCGCUCCUGUGCUUACCCCUAUGUUCCCGAUUUUUCGGCUAGGUGGUAAAGGGAGAACCUCUGCGAUUGUUACUGUCGAGUCAGUCGGACAUGUACCUCAGACUGGGCGAAGCCAAAAGCUAGCGUUCUUAAGGGAAUAUUCGGUCGGUGAACUAAAGAUGAUCUUUUUUUAUUUUUAUCUAUACGCCCCCAGAUGUUUUUCCUGCGUUUCUUUUUGCAGUAUGGACAUGCACCUUAGGGCAUGCCUCCUAGGGAAAGGAACCCCUAACGGAACUAUUCUCCCUGGAAGAUGUUUCUUACUAACCAUGUAAUAUAACAUACCUAGUCGGGCACUUGUCUGUUCACGCCCUAAUGACCCCUACGCCUAGUCUCCAUGCAUUCCCCGGUUCCUAUAUAACCGCAUGGGAAUUCGGACACACUCCGGACCGUCAGGUCCCGAGGCUGAAGUUAAAAGGUCGGCCAUGACAAAUGAUCUACAAUCCGGCUAGAAGGCAUUAUAAAUGUCAAUUAAAUUACAUAGUCAUUUUGACUGGUUAUAUUCCUCUUCAAUACCAUCUAACAGGCUGUCUAAUUUACAGUCCUGCUGGGAAUACUUUGCGGCCAACUCUACUUGGCUGUAUACUAAGCUUACAGGGAUCUCCUUCCCAUCGGGCCCUACAGGACCAACCUCGGCCAUGUGGUUGGGGUCAGCCUUUGCGUACCGCGUCUUCACCAUGGCCCAGGCCUCACUAGCGCCUUGACGACAGGCUGAUAUCUUCCACAAUCGGAAGCGCCGCCGUGCUCCCUUUAGCUUCUCCGCAAGCUCUCCAAGACCUUCGGGCAUGGAGACGGAUGGCCACAGGGCCUGGGCGACGCCUCGCAUCACCUGUCGAACUCGAUCGAGCAGUUGUGAGAGCUCGGGAAGAAGGUCACCCGUAGAACCGGGCAUCUCCUCUGCAGGACGACCUGUUAGCACACCUACAGACAUUGCUCUGUUAGUCGACUUCCCCGCCGAACUUUCUUUCAAAAGGUUUGUUCAAGCACUUACUAAAUAUGCCGCGCCGAAGCCGCUGAUUCUCCUUCACGGAGUCUGACAGCUGGGCACAAACAUCUUUCAGCUCGACGCCCAGCUUGGUGUUGGCAUCUUGGAGAUCGUUCUUCUCCCCCAUCACCUUUAUCAGCACCCUCUCACCAGCCUUUAGCUGGCGUAGGAGGUGUUGCCUUUCCGGAUUCAAUCCAGCGCCAUCUGCAAUUUCAUUUGUCAGAUUCGCACCAAAGCCGUGCUUCGCAAAAUACUUAUCUUUCACAGUGUAUAUUACCAGAGGGGGUCUCCUUAGGCUCCCCUUCCGCGGCUAGUGCAGCCUCCAGUUGGGCUUUGCACUCUUCCAGCUCCUUGGACAGUAGGGAAUUCUUUUCUGUAAGAACCUGCAUAUCAAAUGAUCCUUAAAUCAGUUAUUCUAACUAUUUCAAGUCUCGGGGGCUACUGCUACAUAUAUAAUUACCAAAAUUUUCUUACCCGUAUGUCUUUUACAUAUUGCUCCGUGGCUCUGGCUAGACCAUUUUGAGCGGCACGGAGGUGCGCAUCUCCCGAGUUGAAGGCAUCUAACGCCCCUUGGGAGAAACAAGCGUCGUGAAGAAUUGUCCGACGACGCCUAUGGUUCAUGGCACUCUCCACCUCAGAGUUGGUGGUAGACAACCCGUCCACAUCUUCCGUCGGAGGAGCGUCGGGCGCGCGCCUUGCGUUCACCUCCGCCUCCGGACCAGGUUUUGGAGCCUGGCUGGUGGAGGCGCGAUUGGCAGCCUCUCCGGGUAUAGUCCGGUGAGGUCUCUUUGUCCUGAAGAGAGCAUGAGUGUCAAUGUGCCUCGAAGGUAUAACACCUGGGAUAAGGGGGCGCGCCAUACCUUUGCGCUGACGCCUCGGUCCGGACUGCACUUCUUUUCGGCCCACGGGGCCCUACGGCCCCUCACUGGCUUGUCGCCGCAGGUUCGGCCUUCCGCCUUAAAAACCUCCCCUGCAAAGUUCGGUUGCAAUCAGGAAACUGAACACGAGUGGGCGGACACCUCUUCGGGGUACUGGGACUUCGAUCUCAGGUACCUAGGGCGUCAGGAUUAGCCCUGGGUAAUCGGCCGUAAUGGCCACCAAGGCGUUGUCCUCGCUCAAUUGAUGGAACACUCCAUCAAUCAGCUCCACAGAUAUGUCCGGAUCCUCUUGAGAGGCCGGGUCGAGGGACCGUCCUGGGUCCUCGGGUUGUGGAGGAGGGCUGCUUAUUUCCUUAACAGCCCGGCGCAGUUCCUGCGUUAAAGUCGUCAGACUGAAUAUUUAACAAUGGGAAUACAAAAUGGAUGGACAAGUAAAUACGGCCGCUUACCCAGCUCGGGGGAUUGUGCAUGGAGAAUCCACCCUGAGGGUUGAUGCGGAGAAAUUCCUCCUCUUCUCCCUUAUACAAAGUGGAAAAGAUCUUUAGCAGAGCGGCAGCUGAAUCCGGCCCCUUACGACCGUAGCGGGUGGUGUCGUCCUCCCCGUUGAAGUCCCACAUGGGGUGGCUUCUAUACUGAAGCGGCUGCACCCCCCGCAUAAUGCAUUCAGCCAUAACCCCGAUCAUGGUUAGUCCGGAAUGGGUUAACAAUCUUAUUCGGCCCAUCAAGUAAAUGAUGCCCCUGUCACUUUCCCUCUGAGGGCUCCGUGGGCGCCAGCUUAGGCGCUUCUUUAAGGGAGCACUAUUGAAUUCAGGGAGGCCAAUCCGGACAGGAUCCGGCAGCGGGACGUCUUCUAUAUAGAACCAUUCCGAGGGCCAAUCUUCAGACGCCUUCUUUGGGGUUCCGGACAGAUAUCCGGUCCUGGUGAUGUGCCACACUUCGGCUCCACCCACUUGAUACAUUGACCCUUUCUUGGAACGGGGCACGAGGCAAAAUAGCUCCUCCAUAGUCCGAAAUGAGCUUCAACACCCAAGAACAGCUCGCAGAGGGCUACAAAGCCCGCGAUAUGCAAUACUGAGGCAGGCGUGAGAUGAUGUAGCUCGAGGCCGUAGAACUCCAGCAGCCCCCGGAGAAAUGGGUGGAUUGGAAAUCCGAGCCCCCUUAUUAAGAAAGGGACAAGGCACACCCGCUCUCCUUUGGAGGGAUUACGGGCAUUCUCUUCUUGCUCUCCGCCAUUGUAUACAGCAAGACCGGCUCGAACCGGGACCAUAUAGGCCGGGGGGAGAAAUCCCUUGGUCUGGAGCAUCACUAGCUCACUAUGCGGGGUGGAACAUCUCUCCCAAUAUCUAGGCUUAGGGCUGGAAGGGCGAGGGGAGGAGUUGCGGCGGCUGGCCAUGGUGGAAUGGACCUUUGUCGGAUGCGCUCUGAUGAACACUCACGGAGGGGAGAAGGUGUGGAUUGGACCUAAAUCCUCGUCCCCUUAAAUAGGGCAGCUCAUUUACGCGGCUAGGGGUGUGAAUGUAAAAACACUCAGACUUUUCAUAUUCGUUUAACACGUGGGAAGCGACCAUUAUUGGGCGUAGAAGCCAAGGAGCGCAACGUCUACAAGAAACCGAACUUUAUUCAAACAGGUACACGGAAUUUGGAGGAGAACCCGCCUUGCAAUGCCGAAGACAAUCUGCGCACCGGACUCAUCGUCAUUGAAGACUGGUUCGGGGGCUACUGAGAGAGUCCUGGAUUAGGGGGUGUUCGGAUAGCCGGACUAUACCUUCAGCCGGACUCCUGGACUAUGAAGAUACAAGAUUGAAGACUCCAUCCCGUGUCCGGAAGGGACUUUCCUUGGUGUGGAAGGCAAGCUUGGCAAUACGGAUAUGAAGAUCUUCUACCAUUGUAACUGACUUUGUGUAACCCUAACCCUCUCCGGUGUCUAUAUAAACCGGAGGGUUUUAGUCCGUAGGACAACAUAAAAAUCAACAAUCAUACCAUAGGCUAGCUUCUAGGGUUUAGCCUCCUCGAUCUCGUGGUAGAUCAACUCUUGUGCUACUCAUAUCAUCAAUAUUAAUCAAGCAGGAUGUAGGGUUUUACCUCCAUCGUGAGGGCCCGAACCUGGGUAAAACUUCGUGUCCCUUGUCUCCUGUUACCAUCCGGCCUAGACGCACAGUUCGGGACCCCCUACCCGAGAUCCGCCGGUUUUGACACCGACACCAGACACAGUAAAUCAACAGCAGCUAAAGAGUUGGUUUAAGGGCAUGGGACCGUGGGGACACUAGGACACUUAGCAGCGUAAAGGAGCAACUUAUCAUACUGGGGAAAACAGCAGGAGUGCCAUUGUACUAUGUGAGGGCAGCAAAUCUAAUCCUGGAGACCUUUUACUAUGUGAGGGCAGCAAAUGUAAUCCUGGAGACCUUUUACUAUGUGAGGGCAGCAAAUCUAAUCCUGAGACCUUUUACUAUGUGAGGGCAGCAAAUCUAAUCCUGGAGACCUUUUACUAUGUGAUGGCAGCAAAUCUAAUCCUGGACAUACUCUGUUGACUUGUCCACCAGCCGCCACUUUCUAUCCUUUUUUCAACCAAUAAUAGAUCUAUUCCUUAUCCAGUUUGUACUGUGUUAUCCCAUUGUUUCCCUUUUCAACCAAGAGACCAGUUGGGUAUCCGGUCUCUACUACUUUCACCAUAUUAUUUCCUCUUUGAAUCAAGUCCUAGAUUCAUGCUACAACUUUCCCCCCUUUCUACAUUGUUUGAACAAAGCCCUAGAUUCGAAUCCAUGAAGUAGCUUUACCUCUAAUAAUACUAAAAAUUUAGGUGGCUUUGGAAGAGCUGAUGGGAGUAGAAAAAGAUGCACAUGCAGACACAUGGGGAGCUGGGGCAGUAGAGCAAGGCCGCUUUCGAAGAACUUAUACCUGAGGGUCGCCGGGAUGUCGGCGGCGGCUGGUCGGGUCUGCGGACAAUACGGCAGGGAGGAAGAAGGGUUGGAGGACCUCCCGAACAGACCAUGUGUCAGAGAGAACGACACGGGUAGAGGAUCGGGCCCCUCCGACAGCUGUGGGUUUCCUCCCUCGGCGGUGAUGACCGUGUGAACGAUGCACCUUUUAGUCCUCUACACACACCGGCCGAAGGGAUCCAACCGGAUCUAUGACUAGCGGUGAGCAGAGAGAAAAUGUCGCUACCGAUGUCUUGUUUAUAUCUGGAGAGGAUGAGAGAAUGAAGAGAGCAACCCUAGUAAAGCAAGCGCUCAGGCCCCUGCGUCCAUAUAUAGUGGAGUGAUUAUCUUUUUUCUCUCCAUAACAAGCGUUUCAAUUUGUGUACGUGGCAUUAAAGAAAAGAAACUCUCUAUUUAAGGUGACUACUAUACGACUCCUACUUACUACUAGUAGUACUAUAGUAUUGUUCACUUGUGCUCGUCGCCCCUCCAUUCAUUGAACAACCCCACGGGUGAAUAAACAUAUAGUAAGUACUGUAUUUAUAUAGAAUGAACAAGCUCGAACUGUUUUCGCGUAGUUAAAAGUUGAGGGCAGGGCUUUUCCUGGGCAGUACGUGUGACAGUUUUCGUGUAGGGCCCGAAGACUAUUUUAAAUUUUUUUAAAAAACUUCGAGACGGCCACAUAGCAUGGAGCCGACCCCAACGAUUUUAAGCUUACAGGCACGGUACACACUAUCCUAGACUACUAUACACAUGAAACUGCCACAUGAGCGCCCGGGCUGCGCUUGACUCUUCGGGAAGUCGAACAAUGAUGGAAUACUACUACACUGGAGGAGUACUACAGUUCGCUUCUGGCCAUCUGAUACCGAUUGAACUGCUACAUGUACACUGCAUGCGGGAGGGAGAGCGUGUAGCGAAAGCUUCUCCUAGUCUUGCUAGCCACCACGCUCAUGGGCGAGGGAGGGACGCUCCUGCCUUUGCGUGUAUGACAAGUGGGCCCUACAGGUGUGUGGCCAACCUGUCAUACAGCCAAAGGCAUGUGCAGUUAAGUCCGUGAGGGAGAGGAUAAUCAAACUUCUCAUUGAUUUACGAGUUGACGCAACACAUCAAAGCACUGCACUCGAUAUAUUUCAAUAAUUUGCGUGUGUGACUCCCAGAUGCAGAGGCCGGGGGUCAUCAUCCUCCUUUUCGAGAAAAAAUAGGCACGUGUGUGAGAGGACGAGUGCGUGCGUGCACCUCUUCUCUUCCUGUAUAACGUACUACUAAACUCAGAGUACAAGUUUUUGUGGGUGGCACGAUGGUGCGUGCGAGAAGUCCCGAGAGAUAGGUUUAAUGCAUUAAUUGCAAUGCAUGCAUGCAUAAAGUACAUGCAUUGGUCAAUUUUCUCUUAAUACUUGCAUGCAAUGAUUUAAUGCACCUUGGAAUCUGAACAUGUGUUGGGGACAACCAAAUUGAGCCAUAUAAAAUGGAAAAACUAAAAUUUUGAGAUAAGCCCUAUAAAACCGGAAAGGAGGGAGUAGAAAAAGAAGUACUCCAUCUAGGAAUAGUGCCGCACUUAAAAACUAGAACCGUCAAUAAAUUUUGAGCUUGCAUCUCGUCACAUUCCAAAUUACUCCAUGCUAUAUUGAAUUGCAAACAUGUUCACACCGAUCACAACCUAAUUGGUUUCCCACUUAGGAGCGUAUUAGUACUCGGUUAUAAAUACUAGUAUGCCAAGAUGACUGCACAUUCCUCCUCAACUCCUCAUCCACAAAAACAAACAAGUCAUUCAGCAUCCUUCCCUUGCGUCUGCCAUGGCCAGCUUGAGUUCUGGGUCAAGAGAUUACCACCAGGGAGAGGCGAGCAUGGAAGCAGAAGCACGAGAGAUGUCCCGCCUCACUGCGAGAGCAGCCGACAUGUCCCGCCACGCGGAAGUAGCAGCACAGAGGUCUCGCCGUGCCGCUGAAGCAGCACGGAGGUCCCGCCGCGCCGUUGAUGCAGCAGACUGGUCCGGCCGCGCCGUAGAAGCAGCAGAGAUGUCCCGCCGCGCCACGAAUGCAGUAGAGAUGUCCCGCCGCGCCGCGACAGCCUGGGAAAAUUUCUUGCGGGCACGUGACGACUGUUAUAGGCGCAUGCAUGCGAUCAUCCAUAGCCAGAUGGAUCAGAUCUCCGGCUCGGCGAGGUUGUAGGACGACAUGAUAGCCUCGUUUGAACAGGCUACCGGCGUCGUCCGACAACUAAGGGAGGGCAAUGAGAGGCUCUGGGCCGAGCACGACCUGCUGAGGGAGAAGAUCGUCUGAAGUGCAGACCUGUAGGAGGAGACUAGUGCCUUGUUGAAGAAACUUAUGGACGAGAAUGACAUGCUCCGCAACGAGCGCUAACGGCUGGUGGAGGAAUCCAUGGAUGUUCUCAAGCAGCGUCUUGAGGACACGAAAGAGCUCAUUGCCGCUCGCCGUGGAGACUAGUUUCCUGGUUUCUUUUGAUGUAAUAAUCAGUUUAGGAUGUGGAUUGUGUCAUCAGUUGCGAAAUGUUGGGUUCUAGCGCGGAUGUUUGGCCUUUGUUGGCCUCUUGAGAUGUUGUGAUUUCAAUCUGGUAGCUUUUAGUCCUUCGUGUUAGGUUGGAGUUGUGCUGAACUUCUUGUGAAUUGUGGUGGUUUUCAAUAAUAGAAAUCGGAAUGGGCAAGCCCUUCUUUGAUCAAAAAAAAACUUUAAUCGUCCUUAUAUAUUCCUCAGUCUUGCCAUAAGUCGCAGUAGAUGCUAUAUAGGUCCGUCGGAUCUUACAUCAAGAUCCGUGCUUUCAGAUUUUAUUUUUUUCUCUCUUAAAUCUCAGUCGAGUGAGACAUAGCCACGCCAUUAAACAGAGGCUCAAGCGCCAUUAAUGGAGACCUUGGGAGAGGGGUGGACGGCAGAUGGAGGUCAAAGGGCUCUCCUCUCGAUAAGCACACGCAGGGGUCUGAUCGCACGCCUCUCUACUCAAAUAGCAACCCUGCAUGUCGCCUCCUAGCUAAUAAAAAAGGGGACGCGUGGCGGCACGUAAAUGGUACUAGUAAGUAGAACGCCCACGGUUUCAAUAAUACUUGUGUUUCCGAUUGUAACGUGACAACACUUCUUCCAAAUUGACUUUGUUGAUUGUUAAUGUGUGCACCUUCGCAAAUCGGACUGCAAAUUUACCACAGCAUGUUGGUGCCAUGUCAUGGCACCAAGCCAAGUUUCAUUAUUUUCAUGCAUGUUUUGGAUUUACAGGAAUUAAAAAACUAAGUUUCUCAAUGUUUCCAACCCAGCCACGACGCCAGAAUUUUGAAUUUCAUUCCCAUUUCUUGCAUGGAACCUAGAAAUUUACCCGAGGACAUACAUGUGAUUUUUCAACCAACUUUGGUGCACUGGAACAUGUGCUUGUAUUUCAAAUUUGAAUUAUGCACACAAAGGUGACACGUUCCCUACCAGAACCAUGAGCCUUCUUGAGAGAAGCUCCGGUUUGCAAGAAGCUUAUACCAAAAUUUGUUCCUAUUCGGCCAAUUUUUUUUACCACGGCAUGGUACUACCAUGACAUGACACCAUACCAAGUUUCAUUAUUUUAAAACCAUGUUUCACAAUGUUAUCGACCGAGCCACGAUGCCCAGAUGUUUGAAUUUUAUUCUCAUUUUUUGCAUGGGACCUACUCCCUCCUUCCAUCUAUAUAGGGCCUAAUGUGUUUUUCAAGACAGCCUUUGACUAUUGACAAGAUUAAUAGCACAUGAGAUGUAUACUAUGCAAAUUAUAUUAUUGGAAGCUCCUUUGACAUACAAAAUUGAAGGUAUGCUUUGUGUAAGUUGCAUGUCAUAUAUUAUUGCUCUAACGUUUGGUCAAAGUUAGCCUCGAAAAAUGCAUUAGGACCUAUAUGCAUGAGAGGAGUCGACUUUGAGAGAACGUGUUUGUUCGAGAGACACCAAGGAAGACUACUAUAUAUCGAUGGUUCAUGUAGGAGGGAAUUAAACUAAGGGAUGGUCUUAUUGGUUUCGGGGAUAUAGGGGAAGAGUGAGAGGCGGGGGGUAGCUAGAAGGAGAUUGCUAAGUGUGAGUGUGUGUUUUACCCAUCCAGGCGGAAGUUAUGUACACAAAAGAGGAGAACGGUUCGAUGUGGCGUUAGGAUUGAGGGUAAUUAACUACGUAUGGAGACAUAGAGACCUUGAACGUGCAUGUGUGAGAGGUAUACAUGUAUACGUGGGAUGUGUGUGUGUGCGCACGUGCAUGAUCGAGAUAAAAGAAAGAAGACAUAAGUCAUAAGAUCAACGACAUGGGAGAGACGGAUCAGUAUGACCAUAUGCAUGCAUGUGAGAAUGCAUGGAAGAAGUCCCGACAAUUGAGCAUGUGUUUUUGUCUUUAAGAGAUAGUGGCGUGGGCUGGAGCAUGCAUCUAUGGCGAGCAGAGGGAGUGAGGCGCAAUGAUUGUGCAAAAGAGACCAACCUAUAAAUGCAUAUGUAUGGAGAGACAUAUAUAGUGUGGGUGAUAGGAAGCAAGACUCCGUGCGAGAAAGAAAUGUUGAUGGAGAAACUACAGAUAGAUACUGAAAGUGCGUUAUAUCGACUAGAGGGGGGUGAAUAGGCGAUUUUUAUGAAAUUCUUCACUGAGGAAUUUGCCGGUGAGGAAAUUUCUUAGCGAAGAACUAAUAGCAGCAGAAUAAGUACUCAAAAGUAAACAUAACAGAAUACAAGCAUAGUCAUCAUGAUGAAAUGAAGACAGGCACAGAGUACAGGAAGUGUAAGCACAGGAUAACUCAGGAUGAAGACAAACAGACUGAAGAAAUUGAACUGAGGAAAUUGAGAAAGUCUUCAGUCAAAAUCUUCAAACACAGAUAUGAACAAACACACAACACAGUUAUGAGGAAAUGAAAGAGUUGAGGGAAUAGAACCAGUAAGCUUGGUGAAGACAAUGAUUUGGUAGACCAGUUCCAGCUGCUGUCUUAGUUGUACGCCUGGUUGGAGCGGCUGAGUAUUUAAACUCGAGGACACACAGUACCGGACACCCAGUCAAGGACACUUAGUCCAAGACACCCAGUCAUCACCGUAUUCUCCUUGAACUAAGGUCACACAGACCUCGUCCAAUCACUCGUGGUAAGUCUUCAGGCGACUUCCAAACCUUCACAAACUUGGUCACCCGGCGAUCCACAAUUCCUCUUGGAUGCUCUAGACCAUGACGCCUAACCAUCUGGAAGAAGCACAGUCUUCAAAGGUAACAAGCAUCAGAUCCACUCAGGAUCAAUCUCUUCAGUGAUGCUCAAUCACUUGGGGUUUGUAGGUGUUUGGGUUUUGGGUUUUUGGUUUUUCCUCACUUGAUGAUUUUCGCUCAAAGUCCUCAGAGGAUGGGUUGCUCUCAAAUGACAAGUGUCAGUUUCUCUCGGAGCAGCCAACCAGCUAGUGGUUGUAGGGGGAGGCUAUUUAUAGCCUAGGGAGCAGCCUGACAUGAUAAGACAUAAAUGCCCUUCAAUGAUAUGACCGUUAGGUGGAUAGAUAUUUUGGGACAGUUGGCGCAUAGCACAACAACGGUCGGAAAUUUGAGUAGCAAAAUCCUCAGGGCUAUCAAGUUCCUCACUGUGUAGGCAAUCCGCACUGGCGAAUUCCUAACUCCUCAGUCAGGAUAAAUUCCUCAGAGACCAGAAGAACUUCGUCUCUGUCACUGAAGAAAUUGCUGAACUGUAUGAGAUUUCCAAUGGCUUCACUCGAAGGGAUUGGUAGGUGUAGGAUUUUGAAUUGAGCAUCACAUGGAAAUUUUUCCUUAGUAUUUCCUCGACCCCCUUUAACAGUACGGUGUUUCCUAUGACUCAAGAAGGAGAAAAAAAAACUAUGAAAAUGAAAGUCUUCAAGCUUCAUAUUCCUCGCAUGAAUAUCAAGUCUUCAUGGACACACCAAUUUCUUCACUUUCAAAGUCUUCAUGAAAGUCUUCAGAAAUACCAAAAUCUUCAAUCGAAGAUAUUCAUUUUUAGGGGUCGACUUUUCCUGUAAAUAUCAAACUCCUCAUAGACUUAUAGACCUGUGUACACUCACAAACGCAUUAGUACCUUAACCUAUAAGUCUUCAAUACACCAAAAUCACUACGAGGCACUAGAUGCACUUACAAUCUCCCCCUUUUUGGUGAUUGAUGACAAUAUACGUUAAGUUUUCAACGGGGAUAAACAUAUUAAGUGUAACUACUGAUAUUGAGGAAUUUGAUUGCAAGAUAUAGAAGAACUCCCCCUGAAGAUGUGCAUAGUGAGGAAUUUGCCUUUGAAGCAAUGCACACUUGAGGAGUUGAAUCAUGGAUAUCUCCCCCUAUAUCUUGUAAUUCGUACACGCAUUUAACAUAUAAUAUGAAGAAUUUGAAAUGCAUGAUGAAAUAUGGUGCCUGAUGAAAUUCAGCAUGUGUGCAAUAAUAUUAAUAAGGAAUAAGCAUGCAGAAUAGUGCAUCAAAAGUAUGAGAGCGCAGUGCAUCAAAAGUAUCAGAGCACCAUCGGGUUUAAGAUUACAACUCGAUCCAAUAAAGUUUUAGAAGAACGAUAGUUGUAACUUAGAAAAAAAAUAAAAACGCCCAUAUAGUAGACCCGCUUGAAGACUAACUCAUGUAUCUCCCCCUUUGUCAUCGAAUGACCAAAAGGAUCGAAAAUGAGGACUAACGCCCCUGAAGAUAAUCAUGUUGAUGAAGGAGCGCCAACGUUGUUGGGGUCGUUUGUUGAUGUAGGGCCUGUCGCAGUGUCGUCCAAAUCUUCAUGUUCACCAGUGUCGCGCGAUGAAGAAAAUGAGCUGGCCACUAGAGAAGGAACCUGGACCUUCUUGAAUUUCUUCGGUGGAGGUGCAGACCAGUCAAAAUCUUCUUUGAGACCCAUGUUCUUCAGAUCUUCUUCACCAUACAGAUGUGACAGGAUUGCCCAGGUGCGACCGAAGACUUGAUGGAGGUAGUAGUGGUUUUUCUUCACUGCAUUGUGUGUGGCAGUCAUGUUGUGAAGAAGUGAAGCAAACUGACGCUUAACCAAUUUGUGAUUUCGAUCCACCUUCUGGUGAAUACUAAGUAGAAGUUCACGGUCAGUCAUCACGCGUGGAGCAGUGUCUUGAGGAGUGGACUUAGGUGCAUUGGCAGAGUCAUGUGUGGCAGAGUCAUCAUUGGUGGAAUAAGAUGCAGCUUUGCGAAACUGACCAUCCAAUGGAUGAAUGCCUUCAUCUAUUACAGCUGGUGCCUUGCCCUUUCCAUCAACUGAGGAAUAUGUCUACUUGAGGACUUCAAUUGGGGGCAAGUAGCUGAGGUGAUUCUAGAAAUCAGCUUUGUAGUUGAGUGAAGACCUUGUCCUGAGGAAUCUCAUAAUCCAAGGUGCAUAAGGCUUCAGCUCAAACGGAGACAGUGCAACAUUGGCCAUAGUCCUCAUGAAGAAAUCAUGAUAAUUGACAGGAAUGCCAUGAACAAUGUUGAAUACCGGAUUCUUCAUGAUGCCAACAAUUUCCUCAUCAGAUGAGUCGUGGCCUUUGAUGGGACUGAUUGUCCUCGUAAGAAUACAAUAGAUAGUUCUGGGCACGUACAGCAAUUCCUUCACGAGGAAUUUGGUUCGUGGUGCCUGACCUGGUUUCAAAGGCUUCAUCAGCACCUGCAUGUAAUGAUGUGUGAGCUCAGGUUCACUAUAGAUGCAACGAGCUUCUUCAAGGGGAGGACUGAGUGGUAGAGCACGAAGCAAUUCAGAGGCUGGUGCAGUGUAGUGAGUGUUUUCAGACAUCCAGCCCAGCACCCAUGAAUUCACAUCUUCAGCAUCUCCGAUCAUGUGCAGUGUUGCAUAGAAUUGAAGAAUCAGUUCUUCAUUCCAAUCGCAGAUGUCAGAGCAAAAGUUUAGCAGUCCAGCAUCGUGAAGAACACUGAGGACUGGUGCGAAGCACGGCAGAGAUUCCAUAUCCACGUGAGGAAUAUGCUCAUGGUAGAAGAUUUUCUCCUUGUUGAACAGCACUGAGGAAUAGAAAUUUUCUUGACUGGCAGUCCAGAAACGCCUCUUCCUAAUGCGAGCAGAGUCAUAUGGGUUGUAAUCUUCGAAGAAUACGUGCUCGCCGAAGAAAUCAUCAGCCUUGAAUGUUUGCUUGCAUGAGAAAGGAUCCUUUGGGUUCGGCAGAGGAGUGUCAGUGAGUUGCAUCACGACCUCAGGAAUCUCAAUCGCAGGUUCUUCAGGCUGAGGAAUUUCUGGUUCCUCCUCAGUGGCAGUCUGCGUCGUUGGUUGUUCAGCAGCAGAAGUUUCUUCAGCGCUAGUGGCUGGAAUUUCCUCAUGGACAGAUGCAGUGGGACGAGUUUCUUCAGAGCCCAUGUGAACAGUUUGUGUGGGGGACUGAGGAAUUUGCUGUAGAGGGGUGAACAUUGGAGAGUUUGGAUGCUGAAUUUCCCAGAAUUCAUCACUGAUUACGGGUGUGGAGCAGCCAAUGUCCACAUCUUCAUCUUCCAUUUCUUCAACGCCAGCCUCUUCAGCUGUGAACGGAGGCAUAGGCGAGGAGAUGAUAGGUGUUGAAGGGAUCACAUCCACUUCAAUUUCUUCAUCUAACGGUUCAGACGAAGCAGCAAAAGGAGUUUCUUCAUCAGAUCCGCUAGGUAUCACAUAUUCUUCAACAAAAGGAACAAGGUCCUUUGAUGGCCUGGUUGAGAUGGGAACAUCAUCAAUCGGAUUUGCAGACGAGCUUGUCAUAGGCUUCAUUUUCUUCAGAGCUGAAGAAUCUGAAGCAACUGAUGAUUUCCUUUUCUUCACUUCAGCACGCUCUGCAGCCUUGGUCUUCUUCACAUCUGAUGCAGAUGGAAGGAUUGGAGUGGAAGUUGGUGCAGGAGCAGCUGAGGAAUCUGGUUGAUUUUCUUUAGGCACAACUGAUGCAGUUGCCCUGAGUUCUUUAGUUUCUUCAGGCACACCACUAGUGGGUGCCCUGGCAAUUUCUUCAGCGACUGGAAUGCAGUCAUCAGCCCUGGAACUCACGUUAUCUCCAGCAGCCUGAUUGUCAUCAGCGGUGCUGGCAUUUUCUUCAGUAGGCUGAGCAGAUGCUUCAGCCUGAGGAAUUUCCUAUUGCAUUGGGGCUGCAACAUUGGAAGUGAAGUUAUUCGCAAGUUUCACAAAACAAACCUUGGCUCCAAGCCAAUUAGAGCAAUAUGCGUCAAAGUCAUCAGUGAGUUUCUUUACCUCAGUCUGAAUAGUGACAAGUUCUUCAGUUGUCAUAGAGAUAACGUUUUUCUUCAGAUAGCGCUCUUUCUUGUACUGCGCUUUCUUGAUCUGCCUGGCAUUCUGAAAUUUCGACUUUUCUUCUUGAAUGAAGUGGGUCAACAUGUGACUCUGGCCAGGAGUCAGCUUGAAGUCAGGCAAGGGGGUGUUGGGGUCCUUGUGCCAAUCAUCAAUGUAGUCGAGGAUCAGCUUGGGAUCCAAAAGCAGUGGCACUUCUGAUCCUUUGGCUCUAGCGGCCCUGACUUGCCUGUCUCUGAUGAUUUCUGAGAGUUCAUCAUCAUCAGCUUCGUCUUCAUCAGACGACACUUGGAAAGCGACUUGCUUCUUUUGAGGACUUGGGCGAGGACCUCGUCCAGCAGUGGCCUUUGUCUUCAGCAGUGAGGGGCCAGCUGAGGAACUUGGUGCAGCUGAGGAACUAGCUGAGACAUCUGAGGCAAUGGAGAUGCCGGCAGUCCUUUGGCAUGAGGCGAGAUGCACAUGUGCUGAGUAUUUGGUCGGAACAGCUGAAGGCUUUGGCGGAGGAGCUGAGGACUUUGGAGGAACAGGAGCAGCAUGAGGAAUUGGCUGUGAGGGGUUUGAUGAUUCUGGCCGUGAGGGCAUUGCUGAGGAGCUUGGCCUUGAGGGCAUUGUUAGUGAAGCACUUGGCUUGCGCGCAGGCUUCUUAGACAUAGCCUUCUUUGGCUUGACAGCAGAGGCCUCAGCAGAGGCAGUAGCAGUGGCAGAGUCUUCAUUGAAUUUCCUCACUGCUUCUCUGGCUUGCUUAGCCAGCUUGGCUUGGCGCUUGGCCCAUUCAUCAGGAUAGUCCUCACCGCGCUUGAGGCUGGUGGGAUCUGCUAUUUGGCCAGGUGCCAAUGGAGCUCUUGGGCAUGGAGGAUUGAGUGCGAACUUCUUCAUGUACUUAGGAGUGACAUAUCUGUACUCCCUCCAUUCUCUUGCCCAUCUCCUGUCUAUCCUCUGUUUGCGCACUUUGCGCUCAUUCUUGGUUUCCUCCGUAGGUGUGCAGUACCCAGCGUAUAUGUCAUCAGGGAUUUCAAACACUGUAUUUACCUCGGGCCUCUUUCCUCCCUUCUGUGGCCUUUUAGCAUCAGCCAUUUUCUUCAGUUGAGGAAUUUGAACAACCGAAUUCUCUGAAGAAGUAUGCAACUUUUCUUCGAGGAAUGCUGCAAAUGAGUUAAGUUGAUGAGAACCUAGUGAUUCAGCAGCUGACAUGUGUACCUGUGAACAGAGUAUAGUUGCAAGGAAUUUGGAGAGGUCAUAUGCGUUCUCAGAAGAUUUUUCAAAAAGAACAAGUUUGAGGAAUUUGACCAGAUGAGUCUUGAAGAUUUUCACUAAGCGUUCUUUGUCUUAGGUUCCGGAGUUGUAUAGAUCGAAGAUCCACACAAUUGAGGAAUCUUGAAGAAAAAUGAUGCUUAGAGAAACGAAUCAAGAACAGAUGACUUGUGAGGUGUUCAGUGUGUGAAGAUAUGAAGAAAAACACCUUUGAAGAUUUUGUAGAUAAUCAUUCGAAUCAAUGAGGGCAGUAAAAGUAACUUUUAAUUACCUUGGACGAAGAACACGACAAACUGGAGUGAGGAGAUGUGAAGUUCAUCUGUGCAGAUCUUCCACGCCCUAACUUGGCAGAGGAAGAUGGCUACGGCGGCGGCGGAGUGAAGAUGUCUGCGGUCGGCGCGAGUACGUCGGCAACGAGGUGGAGGCAGUGAAGCUCUUCCUCACCGGCGGCGAUGAAGUAGUGGCGGCGCUAGGGUUUGAGAAACUCGAGCUGGAGAGAGAGGUCGAGCGGAGUAAAAGAAGUGAGGAAGGGAAGGAGGGGUAUUUAUAGCCACGGUGAAAAAUUGCUCGCCCGAAGAAAUUGGACGAACGUGCCCCUGGCCCUUCUCAUUCGCAUGACAUGUGUCACCCACAUAGUGAGAGGUGGAGAUCGUGUUAGAUCAUGGGUGAGUGGAUAAGUGUAUCGUGGGAUGCGGAACGGUUUGGGCGGCAAAGCCGAAAAUUUAGAUAAGAUAGGUUUUAAAGUUCCAUUCGCAAUUUCUUUAGCUGACAAGGACACAGUGAAGAUUUUGAACGAGUUUCAAAUAGAAUGCACAUGAAGAAUUUGUGAACAGAUUGGGUUGAGUAUAGCAUAGAGGGGAAGGGUCCGAUCACAUUCACUUAGCAGAAAACCAACUUGAAGAAAUAGCAAUAAGUGAAUGCUGUAGAGGACAUAAACUCAUAUAUAUAUAUAUAUAUAUAUAUAUAUAUAUAUAUAUAUAUAUAUAUAUAUAUAUAUAUAGCCAAUGAAGAAAAAUGACGGGACAAGUGAAGACAAUGCAAAGUUGAAGAAUAUGAAUAAUUGAGGAAUUUCAACUUUUGGUGGUGGCGUGACCCACCGUAUAAGAAUGAUGAUUUCAGACACCGCAUACAAUUAUCGUAGGGUUCUGAGAAUCAAAUUCUUCAUUAAUUUCUUCACACUAAGAGUGUCAUUCUUCAUUGAUUGAAGAAAAACGUUUCUUCAUGUGUUGCACAUCUAAGUCAUCAAUUUUGCAUAAGUGUUAGGAUGAGUGUCCUUUUCAAAGAACAUUCGAAGAUUCUAGGAUAUUUAGCUCACACCGCAACUUGCUAAAUCUCUUCUCAUCCAAGGGCUUUGUGAAGAUAUCAGCUAGCUGUUCUUCAGUCUUCACAUGCUCAAUAGAAAUGUCGCCCUUCAACACAUGAUCAUGAAGAAAAUGAUGACGAAUCUGUAUGUGCUUUGUCUUCGAGUGCUGAACUGGGUUGUGAGCAAUCUUGAUGGCACUCUCAUUAUCACAGAGGAGAGGCACAUUCUUCAUGUUGACGCCGUAGUCCUUGAGAGUUUGCUUCAUCCAUAGAAAUUGGGCACAGCAAGAACCAGCGGCAAUGUACUCAGCUUCAGCAGUAGAUAGUGAUACACAGUUCUGUUUCUUCGAGGACCAACAGACCAAAGAUCGUCCGAGGAAAUGACAUGUACCAGAUGUUGACUUGCGAUCCACACGAUCACCAGCAUAGUCAGAGUCAGAAUAUCCAACAAGAUCAAAAGCCGAGCCCUUGGGGUACCAUAAUCCAAGUGUUGGUGUGUGAGCUAGAUAUCGAAUAAUAUGCUUCACAGCCUUAUGGUGUGAUUCCUUCGGUGUAGCUUGAAAUCAGGCACACAUGCAAACACUAAGCAUUAUAUCUGGCCUAGAUGCACAUAAGUACAAUAAGGAACCUAUCAUGGAGUGGUAUACCUUAUGAUCGAAGUCAAGGCCAUUUUCAUCUUGCUUGUUGCGGUAGAUCCACUUUGUGCCGAUGAUAUUGUGCUUGCGAGGAUCUAGACGUUUGACCAGUUCCCAGACAUUGUUGAGCUCGAACUGAUGUAAUUCUUCUUGCAUGGCCUGAAUCCACUCAGGCUCCAGAAAUGCUUCAUGUACCUUAGUGGGCUCUGUAAUAGAGACAAAAGCAUACUGCCCACAAAAGUUAGACAAAUGUGAAGCUUUUGAGCAUGUGAGAGGACCUGGCGCUUUGCUGUCAUUGAUGAUCUUUUCAACUUGCACUUCUUUUGCAAUGCGAGGAUGAGCUGGUUGUCAUUGAAGAGUUUGAUCAGCGUUUUCUUCAGCACCAUUUUCUUCAGCAUUUUCUUCAGGUGCAUUAGCUCGACGUUCUUCAUGUUCUGGAAUGAAUUCUUCAGCAGAUUCUUCAGUAGGAAUGACAUCCUCAGUAGCCUUGAACUUGAUAGUUUCCUCAGGUGCUGGUUCAUCUAUCAUAGUAGGUAGGUGCUCUCUUUGCGAGCCAUUAGUUUCAUCGAACCACACAUCUACAGUUUCAACAACUUUGUGAAUUACGUUGUUGAAGACUCUGUAGGUGUGCGAGUCCUUUCUGUAACCAAGCAUAAAACCUUCAUGUGCUUUCGGUGCAAAUUUUGAGUUGUGAUGAGGAUCUCUAAUCCAACAUUUAGCACUGAAGACUUUGAAAUAACUUACAUUGGGUUUCUUAUCAGUGAGGAGUUCAUAGGAAGUCUUUUUGAGGAAUUUGUGAAGAUAUACUAUGUUGAUGAUGUGGCACGCAAUAUCAAUUGCCUCAGUCCAGAAACGACGAGGCGUUUUGUAUUCAUCAAGAAUAGUGCAAGCCAUCUCAGCAAAAGUCCUGUUCUUGCGCUCCACGACGCCAUUCUGCUGAGGAGUGUAGGGAGCAGAUAACUCAUGAGUAAUACCAAGUUCAUCAAGAUAGUCGUCGAGACCAGAAUUCUUGAACUCAGUGCCAUUGUCACUUCUGAUGUGCUUGAUCUUCACACCAAAGUUGGUUGAAGCCCUCGAGGAAAAUCGUUUGAAGACUUCCUGCACUUCAUGUUUGUAAGUAACAAGGUGUACCCAUGUAUAGCGAGAAUAAUCAUCAACAAUAACAAAGCCAUAUUGAGAUGCUUCAUUUGAAAUAGCGGAAUAAUGAUUAGGACCAAAGAGAUCCAUGUGAAGCAAUUCAAACGGGCGAGUGGUGGUCAUGAUAGUCUUUGUUGGAUGCUUGGCCUUCGUCAUCUUCCCAGCUUCACAGGCUCCGCAUAGGUGAUCCUUGAGGAAUUUGACAUUCUCGAUGCCAAUGACAUGCUUCUUCCUCGCAAGUGUGUGCAAAUUCCUCAUGCCUGCAUGACCAAGUCGUCGAUGCCAGAGCCAGCCUUCUGAAGCUUUUGCAAGUAAGCACACGGCUGGUUGUGGUCCUAUAGAGAAAUCAACAAUAUACAUGUCUCCUCUCCUAAAGCCUUCGAAGACUUUGGAAUUGUCAGCUUCCAUAAACACACAUAAUGGUACUUGCCAAAGACAACAACCAUAUCAAGAUCACAAAGCAUUGAGACAGACAUAAGGUUGUAUCCUAAGGACUCAACAAGCAUGACUUUGUCCAUGUGUCGAUCCUUUGUAAUUGCAACCUUACCUAGACCCAAUACCUAACUUUUGCCUUUGUCAGCAAAGAUGAUAUACUUCAGAUGUGACGGAGAUAAUGGAGCAUCCAUCAAUAGAUUCUUGUCACCAGUCAUGUGGUUUGUACAUCCACUAUCGAGGACCCACUCAGUGGCUUUGGGUUGAUCAUCCUGUAGAUGAAUUAGUGCACCUUACAAACUCAUAUACUUCAUCGGUAAAGAAUAUGACAUCAAUUCAUCAGAUCAAUUUCAUCAAGUAAUAGAACUGAUAAAGCAAUAUGAGGACGUGAGAAAUGAAGGUUCAUUUCUUCAUGAUUAGCCUGCGUCCUAUCAGGCAUGCUCAGGUCUCCAGCAAAUUCUUCAGACGAUUACAUGCGUCUGGAGACCUGACCCUGCAGAAGAGAUUAGUUCUUUUUCUUCACCACCCACAUCCGAAGGGGUGGCAAAGAGUUCAUCAUUCUGCGAGCUCCAUACGAAAAGGAUGGCAUAGAAGCCAGUCCAUUUCAUUUCACAUAAGAGGGGUUAGAGUAAGCAUAAGAGUAUGCAGAGAAAUUCUUCGAGGACUUAUGGACAUAAUGAUUUGAAGAAUAAUGCACAUAUCCAUAAUCCUUAGAUCUUCCCUGCGAAAUAGACGGGUUAGCACGAUGAUGUUCAUAUGAGGACUUUGAUCCUUUUGAGGAAUUUGAUCCAUGUGAGGAGUUUGGUCCGUAUGAGGACUUGGAUCCAUAUGAAGAAUUUGAUCUGGGGUUCCUAUUCUUCACAGCUGGUGUCAUGAUGACAUUCACCUGAAGAUUUUCAAGACAUCUUUUGGGAACCUAGAUUUUCUUCAUAGGGGAGCCGUUCCUGCAGUUAGUGCCAACAUAUCUAGCAAAUACUUCACCAUUCUAAUUUUUGAAUAGUUUAUAGUUGAAGUAAAUUGACUCAUCAUCAGAAUGAGGAGAUUCACAUGCAAAUCCAGAUAAGUUAGAUGGAUCAACUGGAGGUUCCUUUGCAGCAACCCAUGUGGUUUUGGGGUACUGCUCAGGCUUCCAAUAUGUACCAUCAGCAUUGAGUUUCCUCUCAAAGGUGAUACCCUCUUUCCUAGGGUUCCUGUUGAGGAUCUGCUUUUUAAGCACAUCAUAAAGAGCCUGAUGCCCUUUGAGGCUUUUGUACAUGCCUGUCGUGUACAAUUCCUUCAGCCCUGCAUCGUCGGUGAUACUAGCAAUGUCGUCAGAUGAGGAAUUAGUGAUAGCAGAGGCAUGUGAAGAAUUUGAAACAUUAGCAGCAUUUGAACAUUCAGGUGAAUAAUUAGCAGAUUCACGUUCAAUGCACUUCAAGCAUGGAGGGAAAAAUUCUUCCUGAGAAGCGUUGAUUUGUUGAGCAAGUAAUGAAUCGCGCUCCUUCUGAAGAUCUUCAUAACUCACUCUUAGCUUCUCAAGCUCUUGCUUUCUUUGAAGAAAUUCAUAAGAAAGCUUCUCAUGAUCGGAUAAGAGAGUGUUAUGUUGAUCUUGCAGGGUGUCAUACUUAGUAUGAAGUCUCUGAAGACUUUCAGCCAAAGCUUUUGACUGAUCCAUUUCCUCACCCAACAUAUCAUCGCUCUUGUUUAGCAUAUAGUGAGCUUUUUCCAAAGCUCUUUGUUAUUUAGUAGCAAGGGAAGCCAGUUUAACAUAGCUGGGUCCAAAUUCAUCACCAGAUUCAUCAUCACUGGACUCGGAUAGGUAGCAUUCAGUUACCUCAACAUCUUUUUCCAUAAGGCAUGAUGCAAAAGAUGAUGAUUCUAGUUCGAAUGCCAUCGUUUUAAGAGAUUCCUUGAAGUCCUCAAACCAAGGAUCAUGACAGGUUCGAUGACCUUCAUAGACCUCAAAGAGACGGUCCCAGAUGAGCUUCACAUGAUCGAGAUGCAUGGUAUUCCUGAACUGAUUUUGUCAUAGACUGGAGUAGAUGACAUCCUUCGCCAUGAGGUUGAGAAGAGUAUACUUGCGAAUGUCAUCAACAUCCACCAUCUUGCACAGAUCAGUCAGGCCAAUCUCAGUGACGGUCCACAACUCGCUGUUCAUCACCAUGAGGCGUUUCUUCAUCAUGCCCUUCCACUUGGGAUACUCGUGACCGUCAAAGAUGGGGCAUGUCACCUUCGUCAUACCUGCGGUCGACAUAACUAAAACUCCAGGCAGUUAAACCAAAAUCACACAGAACAAGGGAGUACCUCGCUCUGAUACCAAUUGAAAGUGCGUUAUAUCGACUAGAGGGGGGUGAAUAGGCGAUUUUUAUGAAAUUCUUCACUGAGGAAUUUGCCGGUGAGGAAAUUCCUUAGCGAAGAACUAAUAGCAGCGGAAUAAGUACUCAAAAGUAAACAUAACAGAAUACAAGCAUAGUCAUCAUGAUUAAAUGAAGACAGGCACAGAGUACAGGAAGCGUAAGCACAGGAUAACUCAGGAUGAAGACAAACAGACUGAAGAAACUGAACUGAGGAAAUUGAGAAAGUCUUCAGUCAAAGUCUUCAAACACAGAUAUGAACAAACACACAACACAGUUAUGAGGAAAUGAAAGAGUUGAGGGAAUAGAACCAGUAAGCUUGGUGAAGACAAUGAUUUGGUAGACCAGUUCCAACUGCUGUCUCAGUUGUACGUCUGGUUGGAGCGGCUGAGUAUUUAAACUCGAGGACACACAGUCCCGGACACCCAGUCAAGGACACUUAGUCCAAGACACCCAGUCCUCACCGUAUUCUCCUUGAACUAAGGUCUCACAGGCCUCGUCCAAUCACUCGUGGUAAGUCUUUAGGCGACUUCCAAACCUUCACAAACUUGGUCACCCGGCGAUCCACAAUUCCUCUUGGAUGCUCUAGACCAUGACGCCUAACCAUUUGGAAAAAGCACGGUCUUCGAAGGUAACAAGCGUCGGAUCCACUCAGGAUCAAUCUCUUUAGUGAUGCUCAAUCACUUGGGGUUUGUAGGUGUUUGGUUUUGGGUUUUUGGUUUUUCCUCACUUGAUGAUUUUCGCUCAAAGUCCUCAGAGGAUGGGUUGCUCUCAAAUGACAAGUGUCAGUUUCUCUCGGAGCAGCCAACCAGCUAGUGGUUGUAGGGGGCGGAUAUUUAUAGCCUAGGGAGCAGCCUGACAUGAUAAGACAUAAAUGCCCUUCAAUGAUAUGACCGUUAGGUGGAUAGAUAUUUUGGGACAGCUGGCGCAUAGCACAGCAACGGUCGGAAUUUUGAGUAGCAAAAUCCUCAGGGCUAUCAUGUUCCUCACUGUGUAGGCAAUCCGCACUGGCGAAUUCCUAACUCCUCAGUCAGGACAAAUUCCUCAGAGACCAGAAGAACUUCGCCUCUGUCACUGAAGAAAUUGCUGAACUGUAUGAGAUUUCCAAUGGCUUCACUCGAAGGGAUUGACAGGUGUAGGAUUUUGAGUUGAGCAUCACAUGGAAAUUUUUCCUUAGUAUUUCCUUGGCCCCCUUUAGCAGUACGGUGUUUCCUAUGACUCAAGAAGGAGAAAAACAAAACAAUGAAAACGAAAGUCUUCAAGCUUCAUAUUCCUCGCAUGAAUAUCAAGUCUUCACGGACACACCAAUUUCUUCACUUUCAAAGUCUUAAUGAAAGUCUUCAGAAAUACCAAAAUCUUCAGUCGAAGAUAUUCAUUUUUAGGGGUCGACUUUUCCUGUAAAUAUCAAACUCCUCAUAGACUUAUAGACAUGUGUACACUCACAAACGCAUUAGUCCCUUAACCUAUAAGUAUUCAAUACACCAAAAUCACUAAGGGGCACUAGAUGCACUUACAGAUACAGAGAUGGAGAUGCUAGCUAGAGGGACAUCCGCUAGUUUGGGUGUUGGAGAUGACCGUCGGGUGGUUCAAAGGGUGAAGUUAUAUAUGUGUGUGUGAGAGGGUACUUGACUGCAUGUAGAGAGAAACAUAUGUAGUGUGCGUGAUAGGAAUCAAGAGUGAGGGCGAGAAAGAAGGUCGAUGGAGAAACAUAUAAAUAGAAAGAUAAAGAUGCUAGCUAGUGUGCGUUAGAGAUAGGAGUCGAAUGGAUCAGAAGGCUGGGUUAUGUGUGUGGGUGUGAGAGAGAUAGAGAGAGGGUGCGUGUGAGUCACAUGCAAACAGAUAUCAGAGAGAAAUGAUAUCCAGAGAGACGGAGUUUUGUGUCUGUGAGAGAGAAAGAUAUUUCACAACGAGAGUGAUAGCUAGAGAGACAUACGAGGGAACGCAAGAUAUCUCUAGGGAGAGAGGGUGUGUGUGAGAUACAUACAAGAGAACAAUGGAGAAAUAUGAGACCCUGGGAGACAGAGUUUGUGUUUGUGUGUGAGAAAGAGAUAUUGAAGAGGAAGAGUCGUAGGUUCUCAUAUCUAAGGAGCGAAAGACAUCUCUGUAUGAGGGGUGUGCGAGUGGCACACAUGGGAAUAGUAAAGAGAAAUGAGACCGCGGGAGACAAAGUUUUGUGUUUGUCUGAGAGAAAGAGAUUCCACAUGGAGAAUCAUAGUGAGAGACACAUAGCAGGGAGCGAGAUAUACUUAGAGAGAGAUAGAGUGAUGAAGGUCAAGGGAGAGAGUACCGUCAGUGUGUUACGAAGAUAAAAGUUCAUUGUCGACAUACAGGUAGCACGAGAGAUACCUGAGAGAGGAUGGACGCGUAUAGGUCCAGAGAGAUAGUCCUAUAUAAGCAUGAGUGAUAGCUAUAUGAGACGAAUAUAUGGAUUAAAGGGGAUUCAAAUAUUUAAACCGAAGAUCACGACAUCGAUAAUAUCAUAACGCAAAUUGGUGUAUCAAACAUGCAUAUUCAUUUGAAUUUGGGCACACAUGUAAUGUUAUAUAGUUUAUCAAUAUUGGUGAUCCAUAGAUUCUUCAAUUACAAACAAUGCAUGGUUUAUAUGCAAUUAAUGUCUAAACGGGAUUACACUAUAUGUUGCGUGUGUGAAACACAUUAUACAUGUUUGAGAAGUAAAAAACCCGCAUGAAACACACAUUAAUUGGAGACAGUUAGCGAGGAAUGCAUACAUUGGAUUUCAACAUAAAGUGGUUUCAAAUAUUUGAAAAUCCAAAUUGAUGGAUACAACCUUAUGAAUCUGAGAUCAUGCCAUUUGUAAACCAUAUUUAUGUAUAAAUGGUGUUGUGAUUUUGGAAGUAUAUAUAAAAAAAUGAUGUAUAUAGAAUGUAAUUCCAAUUGAAAAUGGAUCCCGCCCGAAAAAAAUAGAAUACAAAUGGGAUUCGAAUUGAGUUGGCACGGUAAACGUGCACUCUGCAAAAUUUGAACGAAGCGGGGAAAGUCGCAGUAACCGCCUGAAACCAAAAUCUGCGAGAUGGAAAUGACUACUGCCUAUCCCUGCCACACAAAGCCUAUAUGCUGCUUUUCUAUAGGUUUCGAUAGGGGUAGGUUUGUAAUUUCACCCAAAUGUGAUGUAACCGCCUCUCACCCGGAUUCAUACACGGUGGGUGCCAAAACACAGUGUGUCCUCGGCCGAAAUCGACUCCCUCCCUGAUUCAUAUUCAUACACGGUGGGUGCCAAAAGCAAACUCUUGUCGGCAAAUAUUUGGUGUAUGCGAGAUUACCGUCCUAUCCCCAACCGACUAGUGUUGCUGUGAUGUAGUAGAAAUUUGAAACGGGGGAUAAGUUUGUAAAUUUCCUCGCAUUUGAGACAAGCGCGCCCUGAAUACAUGGUUCCCCCUUCCUCUCUACCUCACUUUUCCCCAUUCGUACUCCGUGGGCGCCAAAACACCCUCUCCACCCCACCCUCCUCCGUCCGCCGCCGUCCUCCACCCCAUCCACCGCCGUCCUCCUCCACCAUGCCGGAGCUGAUACCCUGACGCCGCCGUCCAUUACAAUAGAUCGACCACUCUCAUCCACGGCUCCGGAUCGGGAUCCUUGCAUCCCGUCCUCUCGCUUCAUCCCCGCCGUCGUCCACCUUGUCGGCGCCGCUCCUACGACCGUCUCGUCCACCAUGCCCCGCGCCACCGUCUACCCUCCUAGAUCUGCUUCCACGCCGCCGACCGCCAUCGCUACCGCAACAACAUCAAAUUCUCAGCAGAUGCGUACACGGUGCCGCACCAGAGGCAGUACUCUUUCGUAUCUAGUCAACUUAUUUAUCGCAACAAGAAAAUAGAUCACCACUGCUUUACUCUGAUUUCUUGUCUUGGUUGCGAAGUUGCCUUUGUCCGGUUUGCACCUUUAGAUCCGCCAUGGCACGCUCAACACCAUACUCACAAUGCUUAUGGUUUUCCCCUUUUAUAUUCCACACUAGUUAAAUCACAGUAAACUAAAUUUCAAAAUUGGGUUAGUCGAUUUUUCAGAGCUCGCCGGAGUUCGCCGGUGCGAUCGAAGGGGCUCGGGUGGUUGUGGGGCCUCGCCGAACAAAGAAAACUCGACACGGGUGGGGGUUGGGGUGGGGGUGGCGGAGGGGGCCGGUGGUCCGGCCGGCGGCCCGUGCGGUGUUCUGUAUUGGAAGAAUCAGAGACGAGGAAGAAGAAGGGUUAGGAGACGUAGGAUCUUCAUCCAACCGCCUGAAAUGGUCGAGAGACAGCUAGGAGUUGCAUUCUUAAUGCGCUCUGGUUCAUCAUGUGUGGGCACUACGCAACCAACAUUUUAUUAUCCAAAAUCUGCUUGCUCCUCUUUACCAUGUUCCUCUUCCAUUUUUCUUUAAUAUGUACUCUCUCCGUUCCUAAAUACAAGUCUUUGUAUAGAUUCCAUCAUGGACUACAUAUGGAGCAAAAUGAGUGAAUCUACACUCUAAAAUGUACCUAGAUACAUCUGUAUGUGAUCCAUAGUGGAAAUCUCUACCAAGACUUAUAUUUUGGAACGGAGGGAGUAUGAUAGUAGUACAUUAUGUUCCUUAUACUGAAGAUGAGCAGGGACAUUUGCAGUGUAGAGGUCUAUACGGUCAGUUGUGAUGGGCACUUUGAGCAUCUUUGAUUCGUAGGAUCAUGUAAACAUAGGAAUAGGAUUUGUAGUGGCCUGCCCACUUGAAUCCUAUAAGAAUAGCAAGGAAAUGCGGGGAGCUGUGUCGCCUUUGAGAGUUACAUUGAUAUUAACAGUAUGGCACCUUCACUUGAAGAGAGCUGGUAUCCAAAGCCUUUCUAGCCGUACCGGCAAUACUAGCACAUAUAUUCCAGCAAGUUCCACUUUGUUGAUUUUACUCUGAUGCUUAAGGUUUUCCCGUUAAAUCUACACUAUGAUCUGUGUAGCUGCUUUGUGUCGCACUAGUAGCAGUCGACUCUUGAAGCUAAACACUGCAAUGACUUACAAAAUUGGCACCAAGGCAUUGAGCGCCAUUCUGGAUGCAAUGAAACUCAUAUGCUCCCCACCUGUUGAUUCUUGUUCAGAAUAUGAUCCUAAUGACUAUUCUAACCUCGAGGAGUCAAAGGCAGAUGGCCUGUCCUGUUCACCCAUCAAGGUGCCUGUUCUAAUUUGGCAAUGUUUUAUUGAUUGCGGGUAUCUUGCAUAUGUUGUCUUGCAUUUCUUCUACUUUGUUGCACCGCCAUCUGCUUAGUUUACUCAUCAUAUAUGUUGAGAUGCCAUGCCCAUCCAUUAUCAAUACAUAUUCCAUCUGUCAUCAUACCAUGUUUUUCCACUCAAAUGCUGUUCUUGUGCAUCAGACAUCAAAAAGGAAGAGGGUGAUUGCCGAACCUGAAGGAGCACCAGCAAAGUCCUUGAAAAACGUGGUGGUGCCGGAGAAAUCAGACAGUACCCCACUUAUAUUGGUUGUACAACCAGUGACACAAAACAUAGGACCGACUCCAGCAGACUGUACCCAUACUUCACUGGACACACCACUAGCCCCACCACACAGGACCUGCACUCCAGCAAAAGGUAUACCAAUUUCAUUUGCCAUAGCACUAGCUGUAGCAUAGAAAAAUCCCACUCCAGCAAAAAGUAAAGCAAGUCCACUGGCCGAAGACCUAUCCCAACUACAGAGACGGCCAAUUCCUGCAGAUUGGAACCGCAUUCCAUUUAUUCCCAGUUUAAAAGACAAUGAUUUCAAUGUUGUUAGGGACUACGUGCAUAUAUUCCCAUCAUGGGAAGAUUAUUGUGAAGACAAACACCAUUUUCACAUCUUCCUGUCCAACUUACGUGUAAGUGCUAUUAUUCAUGGUUAUUGUUUUCCUGUUUUCUGCUGAUUGAACACAUGAAUGAUUUACAUCACAUUGUUGUAACUAGGCAAGGGUCAGUCUGGAUAGUCAUGACGAUCAAAGCUUGCUUGUGCUUUUCAAGGCAACAUUGCAGCAGUAGCGGUGUUACCUGAGGAAAUCACACUUUGAUGGCAAGUCUAUAAACGAAUUUCCGGUGAAGUCUCCUGUGCUAAAUUUAGAAGACAUUGAAUGGAAAAACCUUUUUAUGCACUAGUCUUGUUCCCAGGAUGAGGUAUUGUCUAUGAAAUCACAUGACAAUUUGAACUUCUACUUUUCCGCAUGUGCCUUAUGGAUCUUUUUUGCAGGAAAUCUGCUCAAAGAAGAAUUUCGGUUUGACAAGAACAACGGGAUAUUGCAAAUAUGCUGCCCACUGCUUUGCUCUUGUUAGUACCUGUUGUCCUGUAUCACUGUACUUGCAUACAUAGCUGGUUCAUUAUGUGACAACAGUAUGCAUGAUAGCUUGCUUAUCAAUUGUUUGCUCCAAAUUAUCUGAUUUGUAUGAAUAGUUACAUUAGUGUAGAAUAUAUCCAAUGCCAAUGUUUUUUUAGCUCUCCAUUGUUCUUGUAAGUACAUGUUGUCCUUUAUCAGUGUACUUAUAAUGACAGGUAGUUGUUCAUGUACCAUCACUCUGCAACUUAUUUUCCGUUGCCCUCCAUUUUCUACACAUCAGAUCUAUAUUUACUCUUACCAUAAGGUUGGUACUGAAGAAGUUUAACUGUGCAUUGCUCUUGGUUGUACCUUUUGCCCGUAUCGCUGCACUUACAUUUAUAGCUACUUGGUUAUGUAGCAUCGCUCUUCAUCUUAUCUUAAAUAUUCUCCAUUUUUUCAUAUAUUAUCACAUCUAUAUUUACUCUUAACAAAAUGUAGAAUAAAGGCAAUGCUUUUGAAGAAGAUUCUGUGGUAAACUUCUUGAAUUGCCCCCCCCCCAUCAGCAUGGACAAGGCCUUUAUAGAGCCUCUCUUCACCAAUAAUGUAAGUUUGUCCAUCUCAAGCCUUCAAACUUUGUUGUAUAUAUUUGGUUAGGCAUGACUGCAACAGCUGUUUAUUUUUGGUGUUUGCAUCAAAUUGCUUGUUUAAAGUUUAUUAUGUAGUUCAUAAACAAAAGUUUGUCCUUUCUCAAUUUAAGUUUUUAGUUGUACAACCAACUUCCUUCUUCAUACCAUGUAAAUUAAACUAUACAAAGCAAGUGAUCUUCUUUUGCACUUCAUGUAUGCUUCUGUUCUUCAUCCGUAAUCCAGUGGUGUGGUGAACCGACCCACUACAGCACAAUGUCAUAUUCUGCAAUGUCUUACCUAUGAACAAUGUCAUAUCAUUCUACUAUUAUUUAAACUGUCUCUUUAUUUGCCAAUCUGAAAUGGUAUAAAUUGACAGCACACUAACCAUUGAUACUUAUGAGUUCUUGAUCUGUAAUCCAGUGGUGUCGUGAAGCUGCCAACUCCUUCACAAUGUUAUUUCCUGCCAUGUCUUGACCUGAACAAUACCAUAUUGUGUUAAUGCAAAUUUAAAAUGUGUCACUUUAUUCGCCGGUAAGAAAUGUGAUGAAUUGUCAGCACUGAUACUUUUAUGUGCAAAACCUUUCAUCUGUCUACUUGUUUAUCUUUCAGAGUGAGGAAGAUAUAAGUGUUGAACAUGCGCAGUCUCAUCAUCUUGCUCAGCUGCUUGCGCUGCAGCUCCCCAGCAGGGCUAACCUUUCUUGAACUCUAUUGAAGUGCUGUCGGUUUUGUAUAUUAUUUUGUCGGCGUGUUUAUUUGCACUGGUGGCGAUCUAUGAGCCCAGUGUAUGUAAUCUGCUGUCUGCUUGUGCUUUAUUAUCAUAGUGGCAAACUUUGAUGCCCGUGGAUGUAAUAUGAUGUAAUUUCUUUAUUGUAUAGUAUAGGUUUUUUCUUAUUCACAAUGCUGUAGUUAUUUUACUGUAUAUAUAUCCUGUCUUUGCAGUAAACCGGCCAAACCGUAAAAUUACGGUACAUAAUCGGGCCGUCAUGCAAUCACGAUGUAGGUUGGGCCUGAAACGUGCCGAUCAGCUCACGGGCCGGCAGCAUCCCGAAAUGAACCCCGGCCCAUGAUUGUGCGAAUCAAAUCAUGGGCUUUUAACAGGCCGAAAAAUUGUCUCGGUCCUUAUUUGGCCCAAUCAGAUAUCGGCUGCGAGCAGGCCGGAUGCAAACCGGGCCGUAGUUAGGCCCAACUAUAUGACGGGCUUUUAACAGGCUAAAAUUAAUAUAGGGCCGAAAUGUUAAACGGGCCCUUAACAGGACAAAACUAAUAUCAGGCCAAAUUACUAAGUGGGCCUUUAGCAAGUGGGCCCAAAAGCAUAGUGUCCAAUUGACAGGCAGAAUCUGAUCUGGGCCAUAAUUAGGCCCAAAACCUCUUAAAGGGCCAGACCUGAUCUGGGCCGUAAUUUGGCCCAGAACGUGGUAGGCUUUUAAUGGGUCGGAUCUCAUAUGGGCCACUAUUAGGCCCGGAGCAUGGCAGGCCAUUAAUAGACUGGAUCAAAUAUGGGCCGGCAUUUGGCCCAAAACAUGGCAGCCAAUUAACAGGCCGGCCUACUAGGGUCCUCAAAAUCUUGUGGGCCUACAGCUGGGCCGGCCCAUUAAUGUCAGCGAAAUCUCAUGGGCCUUUAGCUGGGCCGGCCCAUUAUGAUCCGCAAGAAUUUUGUGGGCCUUUACCUGGGCCGGCCUAUUAUGGCAGACGAAAAUCUUGUGGCCCUUUACCUGGGCCGACCCAUUAUGGCCCACGAAAUCUUGUGGGCCUUUAGCUGGGCCAGCCCAAUAUGGUCCGCAAAAUCUCGUGGGCCUUUAGCUGGGCCGGCCCAUUAUGGUCCGCAAAAUCCUGUGGGCCUUUAGUUGGGCCGGCCCAUUUAAACUUGUUGGGUCGUGCCACGUGUCGAUGUAUCAUAGGCGCCUUCUAUCCAGUGAGUGGAUGACAUCUGUCCAGAAGAUGAGCCGACACGUGUUUCCUCUAGCCAAUGAUGAUUUUACACGUGGAAAAUCCCCAUUGGUCGGGGCUGUUAACGGGUUAUCGGAUCCAAAACCCGACCCAAUAGCUUAACGUUGUUCUGUUAUGGUGGAUGCCACGUGUCAGUCACCCUUGAUGAAAGCACUUCUGUGACACGUGAUUUAUCGUAAUGGAAGUGGACAUUUCCGUGAUGAUAAUUUUGGUAAUGUCAUGGAACACUUCUACGACAGCACAGGUAUGACUAUCUUGAUUCUGUCAUAAAUUUGUCAUGGAUGUACAUGCAUGACAAAAAAAGCGACCUACUGUGACAAACACGUAUCAUCACGAAAGUGUAUUUUUUUGUAGUGCCAUCUUAUGCAUGUGAAGCCUCCACAUUCUAGAAUUUCAUCAUUCUUCGUUUUCUUUUCUUCUCUGGUGGUUUCAAUUCAAGCUUUAUUGAUCAUAUCCUUUUCCUCAUUUCAAAUGUUUUCCCAUGCCGUUGCACCUCUUAAUCUUUCACCUCUCGCUAUUCAUUUGUUCUGGAGUGCUCAAGAUAUCUUGAAGAUUCAUGUUUCCACUCUGCAUUCAUUCAAGCUCUUUUGAGGAUGUUAUCUCAUACAAGCUAUUUAAUUCAACCGGUGCAAUCUCUCUUCAAAUCAUUUCAAUGGUGUUUAUCUUGAGUGGGCCCUAACCCACAGGUCUUUUCCCAUGAUUUUACCUGACUCUUCUAAUUAUCCCGGAGCAAUUAUCAAAUCUUUUAAAGUUUGACGUAAGAAUGAGUUAUCAUCAGUCAGAUGUCUUUCUCCAAGAUCUUUCAUCGUUGGGUCAACCUUUCUAUUAUUCAUCCCAGAGUAUCUCAACAAUUCAUGGUGGUGUUUCUCGUCGUCAUUCUCAACAUUUGAAGACCGAAGAAGAGUUUUUGCUCCAUUUCUUGCUCCAUCCUCUUCAAGAUUCUUGAUUCUAGAUUCAUGAUAUCCUCUCAUAAUUGUAUUAGUUUGUGAGAUUCUUUUCACCCACCCGGAGCAAUUCAGAAGUCUUUUUUGUUUGAUUCUCCGAAGCCCUUCAUCUCAGAAUUAUUCAUUCUCAGCUUUCAGCUCUCAUUCUCUAAAUCUUACCGGUGCAUCGUUCAAGUGUUCUCUUAUCAGCUCGUCAUCUCUUCGUUCUCAUGUAUCUAAGUUCUCUCAAGCAUCUUCAUUUAUUUUCUAAUCCUUCCCGGUGUUUCUUCAUCAUUCAUUCGUUGUUUCAAUCCUACCGGUAUUUCAUUGAAGACCUUAUCAAGUUAUCAAUUUCUGUCUUAAUCCUUUCUACCAGAAUAAGUUGUAUGCAAUCCGUUGAUUGUCAUCAAUUUAAAUUGGUGAAGGAUACACAUAAUGUAAUUCUUAUUCUUGUUUCACCCAAAUGAUUAAUUCCUUAUUCCGGAGGCUCAUCAAAUUCUCGAUUUCAGUUGUUCAUCUUUCUUUUCUGGAGCUCCAGUUUAUCCGCUUUAUCUCGCCGCGAAGAUCCAUCCAAUCAUCCUUUAUUACCAGAGUUCUUCAUGGGGGCUCUACAUGAUGGUUCAUAAAGGAUUCCUUCUCGAAGCGUUCAUCAAGAUUCUUUUCAGAGGAGCUCAAGCAUUCUUCAUGUUGCAUUCCGAAGUGCAAUUCUUUCAUAUCUCAUCUUUUGAGGUGGUGUUAUGUCAUUGUUGAUAAUUUCCCUUCGUGUUUCAUGAUUCACAAGUUUUCAAGAGUGACAUAUAUGAAUCCAUCAUUUUCUCUUCGCUCAAGACAUCUUUUCAUACAAUCAAUCUCUUCAUUGGAGUUAGACUAGGUUAUAUUUCACCUAAAGCUUUCCCUAAGGAUUGUUGCUAUUUAUGGUGAUUAUAAAUGAUCCAAGUUCUUCAUGUAUCCUCCCGGUGAAAUAAGUUUCUCGUCUCCUUGUUGAUAUCAAUCCAAUCUAUUAUUUCCGUUAGUGCCAGAAUUUCACCUCAUAAUUUUGGGAUGUUUUCCAUAAGCCUACAACAAGCUUACUCUUCUCGUUGUUGGUUUUCCAACAACUCCGUUCGACCCUUCUCCUAAAGAGGCUUUUUCAAGCUCAUUUGAGGUAGAAGUUGUCAUUUUCUUCUCCGUUCUUUUGUUCCGACCAUCUUCCUUCUAUUCCUUCAACCAGAGGCAUCAUGAUGUUGCUCCUUUCUCUCAUCAUCUCGAAUGGUGAGGAUCAUGUUCUUUUCGUGCUUAUCCAUUUAACCGGAGUGUCGAGCCCUCUUUUUAAGUUCUUCCCUUUCUAUCAAGUUUUGCCUCUCUCAAACGUAGUGUUGUCUGAUUUCUUACCCCCCGUGUGCCAUUCUUUCAAGAGUUUCAGAGGUAUUGUGUUGUGAUUUCAUCAAGUAUACUCUCAUCUUGUCAAGUUCAUGUUCAUUUCCUUCCUUUUACAGUCGGAGUGCUGUCCAAAUUAUAUCAUUCUUUUUCCUCCUCUAUCUUGUUUUAACCAGAGUGUUGUGGAUACCAUUCCUCUUCUAACCGGAGUCUCGUCCAAGUGCUUUCAUUUUGCCAAGUUCAUAUGCUAAGCCUUCCUUUUCCAAACAGAGUUUGAUGUAUUUGGUCUUUAUCGUUCCUUGUACAUCUCGUCUCAACCGGAGUGCUUGCAUGUAGUUCUUGUCCAUUGUAACCUUUUUCUUAUGUUUUCUAACCUACAAGGUUCUAGUAAUGUUCCUUGUUCCUCUGUUCCAACGGAGUGUUUUCAACUGCGUUCAUCUUUGUUGUAUUCUUUCUUUCAAUUUGUUCAACCUUCGCAAGGUUCUUUGGUUUCAUUUGUUUUUCCAAGAAGCAACUUAGUUUUACCUCUACUCUUCCUCUUCCGUUUCUCUCCGGUGCCAUCCUAGAUCUCGGGACGAGAUCCUCUUGUAGUGGUGGAGUGUUGUAAUGCCCCGAGACCAUUGCACCAGAUGCCUUCCAGUUAUUCGUUGUUCUUGCCUUGUCUUAUUGCAUUAGUGCUUGUGUCUGUUUUGCACUCUCAUAAUCAUCAUGUGGAUUGUCAUAUUCAUGCAUGUUGUAUUGUUGCAUGCUCCAUGUGUGGUUCUUGCACCAUCACUCCUCCUUCCUUCCCUUUCUUCCAUUUCUGCAAGUGCCACUUUCCCUUCUCUUUUGUUGUUCAUCUUUUGCCCAAUUUUCUAACACCAUGUACCUAGCCUCUGUGCCAAAUUUCAUCUCAAUUGGAAUUGUUUUGGUUAGGGUUUAGAAUGGUUCAAGUUUGAAUUUAUUUCAAGCUUGAAUUAUUUUUACUUCCUUUAAAAAUCUCCAAACCAAUUUUAUUAAAUAGGGCACAUUUUCAGAAUCAUGGGAAUAUUUUUAUAUUUCUCUAGCUCCUCUAUUUUUUCCCUGCUCUUUCCUUUUUGUAUUUCUGUCUAAAGAAAUGGAAAGGAAAGAAAGCAGCAUCAGAAGUGCAACCCAGCAGCGCUCGCCUACCUGGGCCUCGGCCUCCCAGGCUGGCCCAGCUAACCCCGCGCGCCAGCAGGCCAAGCGCACCAGCCAGCCUGCUCAGCCACCCGCGCCCUCUCCCUCUCAUGUUUUUCUCACCCACGCCUGAGCCUACCCCCCCCCCUCCCCACUCGCCUCGUUGCGGCGUAGCCACGUGGUUAGGCCGGCCCCAUAUGUCAACCUCUGGCUACAGUGCACCCGCCCCUUACCUUUUCAUCGACCUCCAGCCCUGCCGUGCACAUGGCCACGUCGUGGUCACGUGAGCGCGCACAGCCUCAUCCCUACCCUUAUCCGCAGCCCAUCCGCGCCAGCUGCAAGCCACCCACUCCCUCUCGCUUUCCCCUCUCUCAAGAAACCCUAGGGGCGCUUCUAGAUCGAGAACCAGCCCCCACGCCGAGGUCAUCGGAGGACCAGCCAUGUCGCCGCCGUGAACCCCUUCGCCUUCUUCCUCGCCAACCGUGUCCAGCCAGUUUGUCGACGUCCUAUUCGCCCACUGCUUCCCCUGCAUCGCCUAAGGAGUCGCCAAGCCCCACGCCUGGUGUCCUCCCCUGCUUACUUCUUCCUCGGACAGGAACUACGUCGAGUUCAGAGCACGACUGCGUCGCCGCUGGUUCGUCUCCGUCUCCGUCACCGUGUCCUAGGGUGAGUUAGGUAUACCUGCUUCCCUCCCUCUUCUUCCUGCCAAGUUUAGGUCACCGGAGUCACCACUAGAUCCAUGCCAUUGUCGUGCCCUCGCUGCUCCGGCAGAUCUCUGAAACUUUCAGAAAAACGCGGUCGUGCCCCGUCCGGAUCUUGUCUCCCGCUCGCCCUGCUCGGGCCCCUGCUUCGAUUCACCUUGCCGCCUUGAUGCAUCCUUGCCUCAAGUGUUCGCGCAUGCGCACGCAACCGCAGCUCCACGCGCUCAUGCACACAGCCAACGCCUCGUUACCGCGGCCGAGACGAGCUCCUGUUCGAGCUCAUUCUCGAAGCCCUUGUUCUGUGGCUCGCGCACGCGCACGACAACGGCUAGUAGCAGCCGUUUCGUUCCCGCGCCCUUGCAGUAUCACCCUUCCCCUGUUCCGCAACCCCGCUGUCGCAUCCAGAGCCCUGCUCCUCCAUCGUUGCUCGCCGGCGUCAUCGCCUUCUUCUCUGGCAACGGAGAGGAAGCCAGCUUCCGCUUUGUAAUGGUUCUAAAGGAACGCUGCCUCCCCUGUUUCAAACACUGAGACCUAGCCCGGUGGUUCGACCCUCUCCCGCUUAACCCGUAGACCCGGGUUCGAACCCCCUCAGGAGCAUAUUUAGAGCCCCAAUUUCUUUUGCCUAUGUCCCCUCUAUGAUAGUGGGACCCCACUCGUCAUCCUCUCUGUCUCACACCCACUCAGCCGCUUGGGCCAAAUCUUUCUGGGCCGCUGCACUCUAAUGCUUCGGGCCCAUGCAUGUUUUUUUUCUGCCUGUGGAUUCAUUUAAAUUUCCAGUGCAUGCAUAUUUAUAGCUAAUGCCAUCAUAUUAAAAUGCUCAUAACUAAAUAACCAUGCAUCCUAUGUAAAUAAGUUAUAAAUGAAACAUGCUUAGAAAUUCAUCUAGUUUCAUAAUAUAUCACUUUCACCCAUGUUUAAAAUGUUUAAAUGUGUUGUUUGUUUAAUUUGCAUAAAUGCCAUGCUAAAAUGCUUUAAUUCAUAACUAAAUAACCAUAGCUCCGAACCUAACAAACUUUAUAUGUAAAUGGGGAAGAAAAAUGCCUAGUUUAACAUGGUGUACUUACUUUGCUUGUUUGAUAACUCUAAAAUUGUGUUUAGGGCAGAAAAGUACCAAACCUUAAAAUAUUCAUAUGGGGUUUUACCAGAAUUUGUUGUUCGUUGUUUCCGGCCUCAUUUAAACUUGCCUAGAUAUGUAGUUUUCUUUUGCUUCACCUGUUGCCAUGUUAAUCAACAUUUAAUAUUGUUGGGUACAUAAACGAGAUCAAACUAAAUAACUUGAAUGUGGUGUUCCAUCAAUAUGCAACUCGUUGCAUAUUGAGCUCCACUUAAUUUGUAGCGUUGUUUGUGCACUUUGCCAUGCCAUGCAUAUUUAAACCGGACAUGCAUCAUACUCGAUUGUGCAUCAUGCCAUGUUCAUGUGUUGGUUGUUUACUAUGUUGUGUGCUUCUUUCAGGUGUUGCUUCUUCGGGUUGGUUCCGAUAACGUCGCGUUUGUGAGGAUUUCUUCAACUUCGUCCGCUUGUAUUCUUCAUGGACUCGUUCUUGUUCCUUGCGGGAUCACAGGCAAGAUGACCAUACCCUCGAAAUCACUUCUACCUUUGCUUGCUAGUUGCUCGAUCUAUUGCUAUGCCGCGAUACCUACCACCUGCUUUAGCAUGCCUCCCAUUUUGCCAUGUCAUGCCUCUAACCCACCUUCCUAGCAAAGCGUUGUUUGGCUAUGUUACCGCUUUUGCUCAACCCCUCUUAUAGCGUUGUUAGUUGCAGGUGAAGAUGAAGUUUGUUCCUUGUUGGAACAUGGAUAUUUGAUUGGAUAUCAUUAUUAUAUCUUGUUUACUUUAAUGCACCUAUAUACUUGGUAAAGGGUGGAAGGCUCGGCCUUAUGCCUGGUGUUUUGUUCCACUCUUGCCGCCCUAGUUUCUGUCAUAUCGGUGUUAUGUUCCUUGAUUUUGCGUUCCUUACGCGGUCGGGUUAUAAUGGGAACCCCUUGACAAUUCGCCUUGAAUAAAACUCCUCCAGCAAGGCCCAACCUUGGUUUUACCGUUUGCACUAACAACCUAUCACCUUCCCUUAGGUUAUGCAGACUCAAGGGUCAUCUUUAUUUCAACACCCCCCCGGGCCAGUGAUUCUCUAAGUGUUGGUCCGAACUAGAGCCCCUUGCAGCGCCACCUCGGGGAAACUUGAGGGUUGGUUUUAGUUGUACGGACUGCUCAUCCGGUGUUGCCCUGAGAACGAGAUAUGUGCAGCUCCUAUCAGGAUGUCGGUGCAUCGGGCGCCUUUGCUGGUCUUCUUUUACCAUUGUCGAGAUGUCUUGUAACUGGGAUUCCGAGUCUGAUCGGGUCUUCCUAGGAGAAGGAAUAUCCUUCGUUGACCAUGAGAGCUUGUGACGGGCUAAGUUGGGACACCCCUACAGGGUUUGAACUUUCAAAAGUCGUGCCCGCAAUUAUGGGCAGAUGGGAAUUUGUUAAUAUCCGAUUGUAGAGAACUUGACACUUAACAUAAUUAAAAUGCAUCAACCGCGUGUCUAGCCGUGAUGGUCUCUUUUCGGAGGAGUCCGGGAAGUGAGCACGGUUCUUGUGUUAUGCUUGAACGUAAGUAGUUUUAGGAUCACUUCUUGAUCACUUCUAGUUCACGACCUGCCUUGCCUUUCUCUUCCCGCUCUCUUUUGCGUAAGUUAGCCACCAUAUAUGCUAGUGCUUGCUGCAGCUCCACCUCACUACCUUUUCCUACCCAUAAGCUUAAAUAUUCUUGAUCGCGAGGGUGUGAGAUUGCUGAGUCCCGGUGACUCACAGAUUACUUCCAAAACUAGUUUGCAGGUGCCGAUGAUACCGUGUAGGUGAUGCAACCGAGCUCAAGGAGGAGCUCGAUGAAGAUCAUGUUCUUUGUGUUGUUUCGUUUCCAGUUGAUCAGUAGUGGAGCCCUGUCGGGGCGAUCGGGGAUCUAGCAUUAGGGGUGGUCUUCUUUUCUUUUGGUUCCGUAGUCGGACCGUGAUUGUAUUCUGGAUGUUGUAAUGCUAUAUUUAUGUAUUGUGUGAAGUGGCGAUUGUAAGCCAACUCUUUAUCCCUUGCUUAUUCAGUACAUGGGAUGUGUAAAGAUUACCCCUCUUGCGACAUACCUACAAUGCGGUUAUGCCUCUAAGUCGUGCUCCGACACGUGGGAGAUAUAGCCGCAUCGUGG
This 50867-nucleotide long non-coding RNA is filed under the name Triticum aestivum (bread wheat). RNAcentral's name for it is "long non-coding RNA (TAES_LNC019672)". Lineage: Eukaryota; Viridiplantae; Streptophyta; Magnoliopsida; Poales; Poaceae. The record is from RNAcentral.